This 60113-nucleotide long non-coding RNA is filed under the name Triticum aestivum (bread wheat). RNAcentral describes it as "long non-coding RNA (TAES_LNC003158)". The record is from RNAcentral. Lineage: Eukaryota; Viridiplantae; Streptophyta; Magnoliopsida; Poales; Poaceae.
UUUUUUUUGGUUUGUUUUCUGUUUUUUUGCAUUAUCUUUUCUUUAUUUAUUUUCUUUUCUGUUUUGAUUCAUUUUAAGUAUUUAGGUCUUUUAUAAAGGCAUGCAUCCCACACCAUAAAUUCCUAGGCAUUUAUUUGCUCACCCCGAACAUUUUGUCUUAAAUUUUGAAAAGUUUUUAUCCUUUGGUUGAUUUUGAAUUUGAAUUUGAAUCAGUUUCGAACUAACACGAGAUUACUAACAGUAAUCAAAGUGACGUGGCAUCGUUAACGGGGGAUUACUGUAGCCUAAUUAUCCGGGCGUCACAAUAUGAAUGCCUCCGGCGGUGUACCGGGAUGGUGCAAUGAAUCAAGAGUGACAUGUAUGAAAACUAAUGCAUGGUGGCUUUGCCACAAAUACGAUGUCAACUACAUGAUCAUGCAAUGGCAGUAUGACAAAAGUAAUGUAUGUCAUGAUGAUGAUGAUGGAAGUUGCAUGGCAAUAUAUCUCGGAAUGGCUAUGGAAAUGCCAUAAUAGGUAGGUAUGAUGGCUGUUUUGAGGAAGAUAUAAGGAGGUUUAUGUGUGAUAGAGCGUAUCGUAUCACGGGGUUUGGAUGCACCGGCAAAGUUUGCACCAACUCUCAAGCUGAGAAAGGGCAAUGCACGGUACCGAAGAGGCUAGCAAAGGCGGAAAGGUGAGAGUGCGUAUAAUCCAUGGACUCAACAUUAGUCAAAAGAACUCAUAUACUUAUUGCAAAAAUUUAGAAGUCAUCAAAAACCAAGUACUACGCGCAUGCUCCUAGGGGUAUAUAUUGGUAGGAAAAGACCAUCGCUCGUCCUCGACCGCCACUCAUAAGGAUGCACAAGCCAGGUACACUUCAUGUUUCAAAUUUGUUACACAACUUUAACCAUACAUGCAUGCUACAGGACUUGCUAACUUCAACACAAGCAUUCUUUAAAUUCAUAAUCACCCAACUAGCAUGACUUUGAUAUUAUCACCUCCAUAUCUCAAAACAAUUAUCAAGCAUCAAACUUAUCUUAGUAUUCAACGCACUCAUAAGAAUUCUUACAAAUCUUUUAUGCUUAGCAUAUUAGGAUUUUAAGCAAAUUACCAUGCUAUUUAAGACUCUCAAAAUAAUAUAAGUGAAGCAUGAGAGUUCAUCUAUUUCUUAAAAAUAAAACUACCACCAUGCUCUAAAAGAUAUAAGUGAUGCACUAGAGCAAAUGACAAACUACUCCGAAAGAUAUAAGUGAAGCUCAAUGACUAGUCGAAUAAUUAUACAACUAUGUGAAGACUCUUCCAUUUAAUAAUUUCAUAUAUUGAUACUUUAUUCAAACAGAAAGCAAAGCUAAAGAAAACUACAUUGCAAGGAUAGCACAACUCAUGUGAAGAAGCAAAAACUUAGGCUCAACUAAUACUAACUGAUAGUUGUUGAAGAAGAAAGGUGGGAUGCCUACCGGAGCAUCCCCAAGCUUAGAUGCUUGAGACUUCUUGAAAUAUUAUCUUGGGGUGCCUUGGGCAUCCCCAAGCUUGAACUUUUGUGUCUCCUUAAUUCCCCUCAUAUCAUGGUUUCUCUUUUUAUGAAAAGCUUCAUCCACAACAAACUCAACAAGAACUCGUGAGAUAGGUCAGUAUAAACCAAUGCAAAACCUUAUCAUUUUCUACUGUAACAAAUCACUCAAAUUAUUAUUCAAAAUUGCACACUAAAUGCCUCUUCAUAUUUAAUACUCCUAUCUUCAAAUAGAAUCAUUAAAUAAGCAAACAUAUGUAAACAAUACAACCAUAACAGCAAUCUGCCAAAACAGUACAAUCUGUAAAGAAUGCAAGAGUCAUCAUACUUUCCUAACUCCAAAAAUUAUGAACUAAAAUUCCCACUGUAAUAAAUUUAUCAGAUCUUAAUAUGCAAAAAUAUUCAACUUUAUACCACUCUCUGAAUUUUCUAGGGAAUUUUUGCAACAGCGGUAAACUUUCUGUUUUCAAACAGCAACAUGUAUACUAGCAAAAUAAGCAUGGCAAAGGCUAUCCUUGACUUUUUUAUUGAAACUAAGGAUGCAAAACAUUAUUAUAACUAACAUAAAGCAAAAACUAACAAAAGUAAAUGAUGCUCCAAGCAAAACACAUAUCAUGUGGUGAAUAAAAAUAUAGCUCCAAGUAAAGUUACCGAUGAACGAAGACGAAAGAGGGGAUGCCUUCCGGGGCAUCCCCAAGCUUAGGCUCUUGGUUGUCCAUGAAUAUUACCUUGGGGUGCCUUGGGCAUCCCCAAGCUUAGGCUCUUGCCACUCCUUAUUCCAUAGUCCAUCGAAUCUUUACCCAAAACUUGAAAACUCCACAACACAAAACUCAACAGAAAACUCGUAAGCUCCGUUAGUAUAAGAAAAUAAAACAACCACUUAGGUACUGUAAUGAACUCAUUCUAAAUUAAUAUUAGUGUAAUAUCUACUGUACUCCAACUUAUCUAUGGUUCAUACCCUCCGAUACUACUCAUAGAUUCAUCAAAAUAAGCAAACAACACAUAGAAAACAGAAUCUGUCAAAAAAAGAACAGUCUGUACUAAUCUGUAUCAAACAUAUACUUCUGGGACUCCAAAACUUAUACCAAAUUAGGAAUAUCUAUGCAAUUCGUGUACCAAUCCAGAGCAAAAAGAAUCAGAUCAGACGCACGUUUCUGUGAAUUAACAAAACUAAUUUACUGGGUGCAAAAGUUUCUAAUUUUCAGCAGGAUCAACACAACUAUCACCAUAAGCCAUCCUAAAGGUCUUACUUGGCACUUUAUUGAAACAAAAGCUAUAAAACAUGAUUAAUACAGUAGCAUAACCAUGUGGACUCACAAAAACAGUAAGGAUAAAUAUUGGGUUGUCUCCCAACAAGCGCUUUUCUUUAAUGCCUUUCUAGCUAGGCAUGAUGAUGAUAAUGAUGCUCACAUAAAAGAUAGGAAUUGAAACAUAAUGGGAGCAUCAUGAAGCAUAUGACUAGCACAUUUCUAAGUCUAACCCACUUCCUAUGCAUAGGGAUUUUGUGAGCAAACAACUUAUGGGAACGAUAAUCAACUAGCAUAGGAAGGUAAAACAAGCAUAGCUUCAAAAAUUUAAGCACAUAGAGAGGAAACUUGAUAUUAUUGCAAUUUUUAUAAGCAUAUGUUCCUCGCUCAUAAUAAUUUUCAGUAGCAUCAUGAAUGAAUUCAACAAUAUAAACAUCACCCAAAGCAUUCUUUUCAUGAUAUACUAGCAUAGAAAAUUUACUACUCUCCACAUAAGCAAAAUUCUUCUCAUGAAUAGUAGUGGGAGCAUACUCAACAAAGUAACUAUCAUGUGAUUGAAAAUUAAGAUCAGGAUGACAAGUUUCAUGGUUAUCAUUAUUCUUUAAAGCAUACGUGUCAUCACAAUAAUCAUCAUAGAUAGGAGGCAUGCUUUCAUCAUAGUAAAUUUGCUCAUCAAAACUUGGGGGACAAAAAAUAUCAUCUUCAUCAAACAUAGCUUCCCCAAGCUUGUGGCUUUGCAUAUCAUUAGCAUCAUGGAUAUUCAAGGAAUUCAUACUAACAACAUAGCAAUCAUGCUCACCAUUCACAUAUUUCAUGCCAAGCAUUCUAUGUAAUUCUUCUUCUAGCACUUUGGCACAAUUUUCCUUUCCAUCAUACUCACGAAAGAUAUUAAAAAGGUGAAGCGUAUGAGACAAACUCAAUUCCAUUUUUUUGUAAUUUUCUUUUAUAGACUAACUAGUGCUAAAACAAGAAACAAAAAGAUUUGAUUGCAAAAUCUAAAGAUAUACCUUCAAGCACUCACCUCCCCGGCAACGACGCCAGAAAAGAGCUUAGUUGAUGGGGUGUGAGUGAGUGCCCUUUACCUAGCCUCCCUGGCAAUGGCGCCAGAAAGGAGCUUGAUGUCUACUACACAACAUUCUUCUUGUAGACGUUGUUGGGCCUGCAAGUGCACAGGUUUGUAGGACAGUAGCAAAUUUCCCUCAAGUGGAUGACCUAAGGUUUAUCAAUCCGUGGGAGGCGUAGGAUGAAUAUGGUCUCUCUCAAGCAACCUUGCAACCAAAUAACAAAAAGUCUCUUGUGUCCUCAACACACCCAAUACAAUGGUAAAUUGUAUAGGUGCACUAGUUCGGCGAAGAGAUGGUGAUACAAGUGCAAAAUAGAUAGUAGAUAUGGGUUUUUGUAAUCUGAAAAUAUAAAAACAGCAAGGUAACAAGCGGUAAAAGUGAGCGUAAACGGUAUUGCAAUGAUAGGAAACAAGGCCUAGGGUUCAUACUUUCACUAGUGCAAGUUCUCUCAACAAUAAUAACAUAGAUAGAUAAUAUAACAAGCCCUCAACAUGCAACAAAGAGUCACUCCAAAGCCACUAAUAGCGGAGAACAAACGUAGAGAUUAUGGUAGGGUACGAAACCACCUCAAAGCUAUUCUUUCGGAUCGAUCUAUAAAAGAGUUUGUACUAGAAUAACACCUUAAGACACAAAUCAACCAAAACCCUAAUGUCACCUAGAUACUCCAUUGUCACCUCACGUCUAGUUAGGGAGGCUGAGAUUCAACUCAGAAGAUCGUGUCUUCACCUUAUUCCCCUUGAGCUAAGGGCACCUAGUCCCCGCCCAAUCACUCUGGUAAGUCUUCAAGGUAGACUUCCAAACCUUCACAGACUUCAUUCACCGGCAAUCCACAAUGACUCUUGGAUGCUCAGAACACGACGCCUAACCGGCUGGAGGAUUCACAGUCCUCAAGUGUAACAAGUAUUCAGAUCACGCGGACAGAAAGACUUCAGUGAUGCCAAACACUCUUCGGGCUCUGGGUGGUUUGGGCUUUGUCCUCGCAAGGAUUCUCUCUCAAAUGCUUCGGAGGUGGGUUGCUCUCAAAUGACAAAAGCCGUGCACUAACUCGAAGCAGCCACCAAUUUAUGGUGUAGGGGGUGGGCUAUUUAUAGCCACCGGGCAACCCGACUUGAUAUGUCUGAAAUGACCCUUGGUCACUAAGGAACUGACACGUGUCCCAACGGUCAGAUUUCAAACACAUGCGGCAGCUUGACUUGGGCUACAAGUAAAGCUGACUCAUCCGACUCUGGAUAAGAUUUGCUCUCAUUGUCUUUGCUCGAAGACAUAGGAUUAGGUUGAGCUUCACUUCAGUCACUCUGACUUUGUUCACUUGGACCCCACUUAACAGUGCGGUGGUUCCUAUGACUCAACAAAGAAGAAAAGGAAACACCAAAUCAACUAAGUCUUCGCGCUCCAUAGUCUUCAUGCAAUGUCUUCUCAUGUCAUAGUCUUCAAUGUGAAUAGCUUCACAGACCACCAUUGUCUUCAAUGUCUUCACACAUUUUUAGGGGUCAUCUCCGGUAGGUAAACUGAAUCAAUGAGGGACUACUACCUGUGUUAUCCUGCAAUUCUCACAAACACAUUAGUCCCUCAACCAGGUUUGUCGUCAAUACUCCAAAACCAACUAGGGGUGGCACUAGAUGCACUUACAAUCUCCCCCUUUUUGGUGAUUGAUGACAAACUGGUUGAAGUUUUCAACUGGGAUAAAAGUAUGUGAAAUUGUAAAGGAUUAAGAUAUUGUCUUCAUAGUUGGCAAAAAGGCUCCCCCUGAAGAUGUGCAUAUAACUGUUUUGUGUUGGAACGCAAAUGCACAUGGCAGGUUGUACUUGUGGAGAUCUUCUUCACCUUAAGAAGACAAUACAUCAUGCAUGAACAGAUAUAACAAUAAUAAUGACAUGCAUAAUGAAAAAUGGACGUCUGCAGAAUGACUUCAUGCGGGAUUUAUCAUCGCACAUGCAGAAUUUAUCGUCGCAUCACAGAAUGACAGAAAAAGCAGCAGACGACCAUCAAGUUUAAGUGUUACAACUCAAAUAACCAAAUGUAUCAAAAGCGAGAGUUGUAAACACUAGGCAAAAGUAUAGCAACCACCCAUAUGGACCAACAUCAAGACUAUCAACAUAUGCUUCUCCCCCUUUUGUCAGUAAGGACCAAAAAGGUUUGAAGACAUAGUCUCUACUCGUUCCCAUGAGGAGUAGGUGAGGCAGCAGGGUUGUCGUUGAGGUUUGGUGGUGCAGACGAACUUGGUGCAGUGUCGAUUUGCACUGAAGUUGGAGGUGGUGAAGUAGCAUCAUCAGCGUUAUCAAGAACUCUGGCAUUAACAGUUGCCGCGGAGGAGGAGUACUCAGAAUCUUCGAGUGAUGGAGUCUGACGCAAGACAGCAUUCCUGGGAGGAGUGGUGUCGAACUUGAAUCUCUCUAUGAAGCCAUCGUCUUGAAGAUCAGCUUCAGCACUGAGCAAUGUCAAACUCUUCCAAGACCACCGACAGGUUUCAUGAGUGACAAAGGCGUUCUUGGUGGCAAGGUUGCGAAUGCGAUUAAUAUCCACCAAGAGGCUUUGCAUCUGACGCUUGAGCCAGUAAUGAUGCUGGUCAUAUUUCUGGUGCAAGGCCACGAGAAGCUCUCGGUCAUUGAGCACACGAGAUCACUUCCGAGGCCUUGGAGCAAUAGUGCUUUCAGUGGCUUCAGUACGUGCACGGCGAGUAUUGCCAGCCAGCGGAUAAACACGAGAAGCAGCCUGAACUCCUUCAACAUGCUGAGAGAAACUCUGACAAUCGACAUUGUGAAGAUAAAUUGCCUCCUUGGCAGGCUCUGGGUAUAUGGCUUCGACGGACAUAUCAACCUCUGGCAAGAAUAUGAGAUGGUUGUGAGCAGAGGGCUGAUAGUCAACAGCAGAAUGAAGCUUGAUCAGACGCAUAACCCAUGGAGCAUAGAGUUUCAUACCAAAUAUGUUGGAGCCAGAUGCAGCAAAUUGGCGAAUGAAGAAAUCCUGAGCAUUGAAGUUGAUGCCACUGAGAAUAUAGAAGACCAAUGUCUUCAUUGCGCCUUCAAGCUUUGCUGAGGAAGAAUGUCCUUUGAUGGGCCAUAGAGUUCGCUUGAUAAUGUGAUAGAUGGUGCGGGGUAGAUACUCUAGGUCUUCAACAAAGAAUUCCUUAGGAUAUUCAGCAUCCUGCGGCAGUGGCUUCAUCAUACUCAGCAUUUGGCUCAUAUUGGGCUCAGGCUUCUGGAAGAUGUUUUCCUAUGCAUUGCAAUGAUGCUGACAACCAGGCUCAUAUAGUUCACCUGGAGUGGACAGGCCGGUAAGCUCAAUGAGAUCAAGAGCUUUGGCAUCAUGGUGUACAUUGCCUGUCAUCCACUUAAGGACCCAUGUCUUCGGAUCCCUGUUGUACCCGCGAAUGUGGAGAGUUGCAUAGAAUUGCAGCAAAAGCUCGUCAUUCCAAUUCUCCUUAUCACUGACAAACGGGAGAAGGCUUGCAUCUCUGAAACAGUCGAGGGCUUCUUCUAAGCAGGGCAGGCCAGCAAUGGCUUCGCAGUCCAAACGCAUAUGAGGAAAUAUCGCCCUUGAUUUUAUAGAACACAAGAGUAAUAGUUGCGCUGCUGAUAACUCCAGAACCGAUCAUAUGAUAUUCUUGGCUUGGAAUAUGGGUUCUUGGCUCUAUCAAAGAAAGUGUUGUGUGCGAUGAAGCCAUUGAUAUUGAAUGAUCCUGGUGCAGAUCCAGUACCUGGAAACCUUGGCAGCCUCGGUUUUGGCUACUGAACAUGUGGCAUGUGCUCCACAUGAUAAUCAAACUGAGGUCUGGGAGCAGGCGGAGGAACCAGAAUUGGCCAUCUGACAAUAACAAGCUCGCCUUGAUAAAAUGCUUGCUCAAUAGUGUGUGGCCUUGGUGGCGGAACAAGAGCAGUGGCAUUAGCAAGGGCGUGAGGCCGCACAUUUGUUGCAGGUGCAUCAUUGGCUUCAUGCACGAUGUUCAUUGCAGGCGCCACAUUAUCUUCAGCCAUGACAACGUCAUAGGCGUCAGUAGUGUUGUUGGUGGCUGCCUCAGGAUUUUCAACCUCCACUUGAGUAGCUGGAGGGUCGGGCACAGACACGUUCUCCUCGAGAACAUCUUCUUGGUUGGUAGGAGGCAUGGCAACACGUUCUUCUUCUUGACGGGGUUCUUGAUUUUCAUCGGUUGAUGCAGCCGGUAUGUCUUCAGCAGGAUUCGCUUCAGACACAGAGACAUUCGCAGUAGGAGUGGCUUCAGGAAACUCUAGCUGUGAUGCCACGUUGGGUUGCACUUCUCCUUUUGGAACGCUCGAUGGAGCAACUUGUGGCCUUGGUCCUUUGCGAAGCCUGUGAAAUGCGGGCGACGCCUUUGGAGUAAGAGUGGGAUGGACCACAUAGUUGUCAUCAUCAUCAAGCACCGGAUUGGUGACUUGAGGUGGGGGAGUUCGCGGUGAGUCUUGACUUGGUGUAGCUGGUUGGGGGCGAUCAGCCGAUGAGGCAUCCUAAGAGAUUGGCGUCAAAGGACGACCAAUACUAAUGAGUUUGUUGUUCGUGAGAACAGGCGAUAAUACCGUUGGGCGCUCGAUCUGAGGAAGACUUCAUCAACUUGUAUAGUUCGUGCAGAUCUGGUGGCAAAUCUUUGGAUGUAUUUCCUCGACGCUGUCUGCCACCCUUUCUUGCUUACUUCUCAGUAGCCAUGAAGCUUAACCUGAAAGGCUUCAGAACUAGCAAAGGCUUCCGACUGCUGGUCAGACAAGAAUUGGCUUCAGGAGAAUUUAUGUGACUCUGUAAGAAUUCUGCAAAUGAAUGCAGACUAUGAGAACCAAGGGAUUCUCCCACGGACAUGUACCUAUAACAGCAUUAGAGGUGCAUAUGCAUUCUCAGAAGAUUUUGAAGAUAAAUCAGUUUGAAGACAUUGACCUUAUAACGCGAAGACAUUCACUUAGUUGUUGUGAGUUGGUUCCACAUUUGUACGAAUCCAAGAAUAAGUACAAGUGAGGAAUCUAACUUGUAGAGAAGCAUAAGUGAACAGACUAGGCAUAAUAUGAGAUACAGAAUGGGAUAGAUUCAAUUUUGGAAGAAUAGAAACCACUUUUGGUAAAGAAGGAUGAAUCUAUCAGAUCAAAAAGAUGGUAAAAAGUAAAUUUUAAUUACCACAUGAUGAACUGCUAGACAGAGCAAAGUUGGAGGCCGAGCAGUUCGAUCUCUCGUGCCCUAACUUGGCAACGGAAGACACCUACGGCGGCGGCGGAGAAGACGAGGUCCGCGGCCGGCAUGAGGACGGCGUCGGUGAGGUCGCGGCAGCUAAGCGCUUCGUCGCCGGCAUCGUCGAGAGCUAGCGGUGGCGCUAGGGUUUGUGAGAGAUGGUGAGGUGGAAGAAAGAUUUUGAUCGUGAUGUGAUGGGUAUUUAUAAGGAAAGGGACGGCACAACGCAAUUACGCAGGUGCCCCUGGCGGUUCACAUCUGAAGGGCACGUGGAAAGCAUGCAACACCUUGGAAGUUGUUCCAUAUUCCCACGCAUGCCUGGAUUGUCGAGGUGGUCAUUCCGAAUUCUCCGGCUUUCAGGCAAUAAGGAUAUAGCAUUAAAAACAGAUAUAAAUGUUUGUCAGAUUGACUUCAGCUGACAAGGUCUCAGUGAAGACAAUCGAUAGUUUUCAAUAGAAUGCAUAUGAUUUGGACAGAUAGAGUUGAGGUAGAAGCAUAGAUAUGAUAGGGUCUGAUCACAUUCACUUUGAUCAAAAGAUUCAGCAAGAAGUCAUAGCUAUAAGUGAAUGAUGUAGAGGACGGAACAUAAAUAUGUAUAUAACAAGUAUAAGACCAAAACAACAAGAUGAAGUUAAACUUGAACGAAGUCAAGGAUGAAGACAAAUUACAUGCGAAGACUUUGCAAUCAUAACGCCAAGGGAAACACUUCAAACAAAAGUUUGGUGGUGGCUUUACCCACUAUAUAGGAAGUAUUAGACCCAGACAUGGUGCACAAUUAUCGUGGCACUCCGAAGUCAAAUUACGCAUUAAUUUAUUCACACUUAGAGUGUAUGUCUUCAUUGAUUGAAGAUAUACAUUACUUCGUGUGUUGCACAUCUAAGUCAUCAAAAUGCAUAAGUGUUAGGAUGUGUGUCCAAUCAUAGGACAUUUGAGGAUUCCAAGAUAUUUAGCUCACACCACAACUUGCAAAACCUUUUCUCAUCUAAGGGCUUUGUGAAGAUAUCAGCCAAUUGCUCUUCAAUGUUGAUGUGAAUGAUAUCAAUAUCUUCCUUCAUGACAUGAUCUCUGAGAAAGUGAUGACGAAUUUUAAUGUGCUUUGUCUUCGAGUGCUGAACUGGGUUGUUGGCAAUCUUGAUGGCGCUCUCAUUGUCAUAGUAGAGUGGCACAUUCUUCAGGUGGAUACCAUAGUCCUUGAGAGUUUGCUUCAUCCAGAGAAGCUGAGCACAACAAGAUCCAAUAGCAAUGUAUUCGGAUUCAGCAGUGGAGAGAGAUACACAGUUCUGCUUCUUUGGAUACCAUAAUCCUAGUGUUGGGGUGUAAGCCAAAGAAUUCACUUCACAGCUAAGUGAUGCGAUUCCUUUGGUGCCGCUUGGAAUCGGUCACACAUGCAAACACUAAGAAUUAUAUCUGGCCUAGAUGCACAUAAAUAAAGUAAAGAACCAAUCAGGGAGCGGUAUACCUUUUGAUCGAACUCUUUACCAUUGGCGUCGGGACCCAGAUGACUUUUGGUUGGCAUUGGCGUCUGUAUCCUUUGUAGUCUUGCAUUCCAAACUUCUUCAGGUAAUCUUUGAGGUAUUUUUCUUGAGAUAUGAAGAUGUCGUUGCGUUGCUGACGGAUUUGGAGACCCAGAAAGAACUUUAGCUCGCCCAUCAUGGACAUAUGAUAUUGCUCUUGCAUCAUGUGACCAAACUCAUCACUGUAUUUCUUGUUAGUGCAGCCAAAGAUAAUGUCAUCCACAUAGAUUUGGCACACAAACAGUUCACCAUCAUAUGUCUUCGUGAAGAGUGUAGGAUCUAGUGAACCAGGUUUGAAGCCUUUGCUCUUCAGGAAGUCUUUGAGUGUGUCAUACCAAGCAUGAGGGGCUUGUUUGAGGCCAUACAAUGCCUUGUUGAGCUUGUAUACCAUAUCAGGGUGUUUUGGAUCUUCAAAGCCAGGAGGUUGUGCAACAUAUACUUCUUAUUCAAUCUUUCCAUUUAGAAAGGCACUCUUCACAUCCAUUUCAUACAGAAGGAUGUUGUGAUGAUUUGCAUAGGCUAGCAGUAUGCGAAUGGAUUCAAGCCUAGCCACCGAAGCAAAUGUUUCAUCAAAGUCAAUCCCUUCCACUUGAGUGUAUCCUUGAGCAACAAGACGAGCCUUGUUUCUAACAACUUGACCAUGCUCAUGUUGCUUGUUGUGAUAUAUCCAUUUGGUGCCAAUGAUAUUGUGCUUACGAGGAUCAGGACGCUUGACCAAUUCCCACACAUUGUUCAGCUCGAACUGUUGAAGCUCUUCUUGCAUGGCUUGAAUCCAUUCGGGUUCCAUGAAGGCUUCAGCAACUUUCUUGGGUUCAGAGAUUGAGACGAAUGCAAAAUGCCCACAGAAAUUGGUUAGCUGUGUUGCUCUUUGAGUAGAUCUUGAACGAGUGAGUGGACCAGGUGCAUUGAUGCUGUCAAUUAUCUUCUCAAUUUGUACUUCAUUUGCAACUCGAGGAUGAACAGGACGAAGAUUUUGCUCUUGCUGAUCAAUGCCAUCAUUUGGGGGAUUGUCUUCAGGCUGAGCAUUGUCUUCAGGUUGAUUAGGUGCAGAAAUGAUAAGUUCCUCUUUAAUCUGAGCCUCAGAUGGUAUGAUCUCUCCAAUUCCCAUCUGCUUGAUUGAUUCACUUGGAGGUACUUCAUCUAGCACAUUUGGCAGGUGCUCUCUUUGCGAGCCGUUAGUCUCAUCGAACCGCACAUCCACAGUCUCAACCACUUUAUAGUGAAAGAGGUUGAAGACUCUGUAGGAGUGUGAAUCCUUGCCGUAGCCAAGAAUAAAACCUUCAUGUCCUUUCGGUGCAAAUUUUGAAGUGUGAUGUGGAUCCUUGAUCCAGCACCUAGCACCAAAUACUCUGAAGUAGCUUACAUUUGGCUUCUUACCAGUUAGGAGUUCAUAGGAUGUUUUCUUUAGAAGCUUGUGAAGAUAAACACGGUUGAUGACAUGGCAUGCAGUAUCAAUGGCUUCAGGGCAGAACUUCCGUGGAGUCUUGUACUCAUCGAUCAUCGUUCGAGCCAUCUCAAUAAGGGUUCUGUUCUUGCGCUCCAUGAUGCCAUUCUGCUGAGGUGUGUACGGAGCAGAGAACUCAUGAGUGAUUCCCAUAGUAUCCAGAUAAAGGUCGAGGCCGGUGUUCUUGAACUCGGUGCCGUUGUCACUUCUGAUAUGCAUGAUCUUGACGCCAUAGUUCGUCAUGGCACGAUUGGCAAAGCGUCUGAAGACAUCCUGUACUUCAUUCUUGUAGAGGAUUAUAUGCACCCAAGUAUAUCUAGAGUAAUCAUCAACAAUGACAAAGCCAUAGAGGCAAGCAGUGGUAGUGAGAGUAGAGUAGUGGGUAGGGCCAAAUAAGUCCAUGUGUAGCAGCUCGAAGGGUUGAGAUGUAGUCAUGAUUGUCUUCAGGGAUGCUUGUCCCUAGUCAUCUUUCUAGCUUCGCAGGCACCGCACAGAUGAUCCUUCUUGAACAUGACGCCUUUGAUGCCCACGACAUGCUUCUUCUUUGCGAGAGUGUGCAAGUUCCUCAUGCCAGCAUGCCCUAGCCUUCGAUGCGAAAGCCAGCACUCUGAAGCUUUUGCUAGAAGACAUACGGCCAUUUUUGGUCCUACUGAGAAAUCUACCAUGUACAGAUCAUCUUUUCGAUACCCUUCAAAGACUAGAGACUUGUCAGAUUCCACUAGUACAAGGCAACGAUACUUUCCAAAUACCACAAUCAUGUUUAAGUCACUAAGCAUUGAGACAGACAUUAAGUUGAAACCAAGGGAUUCAACAAGCAUCACUUUAUCCAUGUGUUGAUCCCUUGAUAUUGCAACUCUACCUAGACCCAAUACCUUGCUUUUACCAGUGUCAGCAAAUGUGAUGUGACUCUUGUCCAAUGGACGUAGCGUUGAAUCCAUCAGAAGACUUCGAUCGCCAGUCAUGUGGUUAGUGCAUCCACUGUCCAUAAUCCAUUCUGAAGUACGAGGUGUCAUAGCCUACAGUGCAGUUUGGGGGAUAGGCUUCACCAAGCGAGUUGUGAAGCAUAAACAUUUGGCGUACAAGUGGAACAUGGAAAUUCAUAUCUUGGUUAGGAUAGAUAGGAUGAGUGUCAAGGAAUCCUAGAACGAAAUACAUAGUAAGACCAUUUGGGCAUUUUAUCUUGCGCCCCACAAGAUGUUUAUGGUCCCAAGCAUUAGCAUUGGACGCCUUUGAUUUGGCUAGAGACCUUUCCCUGCAAAAGAGAGUUAAGUUUUCUUAACCACCCACAUUUUCAGGGGUGGCUUAGAAGCAAUGAGCCUAAGUGCAGCAUCUGAGAACUUCGGCUUUGGAGCCCUAGUAAAUAGCCUUGCAGGAGGUGAAUAAUACUCAUAGGAAUAAGCAGAGAAGUUCUUAGUUCUAUGAACAUAGCGGUUUGAGUAAACACGCUCAUAUUCAUGGGUCUGAGUAUGAUUUCCCUGCAAAACAUUGACGUUAGGGUGACUCAGAUGAGUCCUCGAUCUGGAUGAAGCUUUUGGACCAUAUGAAGCCUUUGGUAUGGGGUUUGUCUUCUUCACAGGUGGUGUCAUGAUGACAUUCACUGGAAGAUUCUCAAGACAACUUUUGGGUACCCAUAUCUUCUUCAUAGGUGGCCCAUUCCUGCAGUUAGUACCAAUAUACCUGGCAAACACUUCGCCAUUCAGAUUCUUAAACAGUUUAUAGUUUGCAUCAAAGGAUUCAUCAAUGAUAAUAGGGUUAGCACAAGUGAAACCAAAUAAGGUGGAUGGAUCUACUAAAGGUUCCGUUGCAGCAACCCAUGUGGUUUUGGGGUACUGCUCAGGCUUCCAGUACGACCCAUCAACAUUCAUUUUCCUCUCGAACCCAACACCCUCUUUCCUAGGGUUUCGGUUCAGGAUCUGCUUUUUGAGGACAUCACAUAAUGUCUGAUGCCCUUUGAGACUUUUGUACAUCACUGUCUCAAGCAGUGUCUUCAACCUAGCAUCCUCAUCAGCAAUAGUAGUGGUAUUCUCAACAGAGGGGUUAUGUAACACCCGGGUAAUUAAGCUACAGUAAUCCUCUGUUGAUGGUGCCACAUCACCACGAUUACUGUUGGUAAACUCCCGAUGGUUUGAAACCCAGUUCAAAUUUGAAAUUUAAAGUUAAGUCAAACAAAUAAAGUUUCCAAAUGUCAAAACAAAAAUGUUCGUUUGGUUGCAAAUAUUCACUAGCUAAUAAUCAUGUGGCAACCAACAUCAUUUGGCUCUCCCUUUACCUCUAGGAAAAUAUAAAGUGGCCCAGCAACAUUUAAUUCGAUCGUUUAAAAUUUCAACAAGUAGUCUUACAUUUCCCAAACCACUUGAAACUUUGUGGGACUCUCCAAAAUAAUGACCACUAAUUAUGUGACAAGUUUCAUGUUGAACAAAACUCAUUUGGUAAUUAAUUAAAAUGUCAAGGAGUGGUGAAAUGAAUAGCAGGAAGGUAAAAAAAGGAAAAGACUAAAAUCCUACUGUGUCUUUGGGCCACAUGUGACCACAGUGCACAUCGCCAAGCCCACCACAGCCUUUUCCCCUUCCUCUAUUCCUCUGUACAGAGAGGAGAUGGGGGCCAUGGCGUGGCAUGCAUCCACCCCCACCAUAGCCGCUGCCUUCGUCGUGUCGGCCAUCUCGCGGUCCUCCUGGUGGAUAAGAACAUCGUCGCCCCCCCCCCUGGUGAACCCUAGCGCCCACUUUCCUUCCCCCUUGCUCUCCUACCUGAUCUGGAGAGGCAACCGUACGCGACCGCCGCCGCUACCUCGUCGUUGACACGCUCCGAAACCACCCCUUCCCGCUCGAAGGUGCCAGGAGCUGCACCUCGACAUCCUCUACCUCCACGACAAAGCUCACGAGCAGGGACCUCCCCAAGCCGUGGUCAUCGUCCAUCUUCAUCCUCAAGUGCCGCCACUUGCUCGCCUUUGAUUCGGUCGACUCCGAGCAUCCCCGGCCACCCUGAGCUCCUCCUCGAACUUGUUGUUAGCCCCAAUCCCCCUACACCUCUCCUUGCUUCCCCGUGCACCGUAGACGUCACACUACUGGAGGCCGAAGCCACCGUCUGCCAUGGCCAGGGAGCCCCGCGCUACCGUCCUCGCCGCUGCACCGCAACUUCUGUGCACGCAUCCGCCGCGCCUGGUGCUGGCCGCUUCUCACUCUGGCCGCGUCCCUCGCAGCCGCGCGUGCGGCCUCGCCUGGCCGCACCCUUGGCCGUCGCGCCCGCUUACACUCGCCGGCCCUUGCACCGCUCGCUGUCGCCCCGAGCACUGCUGCUUGCCUCACACCCCGCCGCCUUAGCCGCUUCGGUCGCGCCAACAGGGCCGCCGCCGCCCGGAGCCUCACCCUGCUCCCCGCCCCUUGCCGCUGCUGGGCAAGGCCGCCGGCGCAAUGCGCCCGUGCGAGCCCAGNNNNNNNNNNNNNNNNNNNNNNNNNNNNNNNNNNNNNNNNNNNNNNNNNNNNNNNNNNNNNNNNNNNNNNNNNNNNNNNNNNNNNNNNNNNNNNNNNNNNNNNNNNNNNNNNNNNNNNNNNNNNNNNNNNNNNNNNNNNNNNNNNNNNNNNNNNNNNNNNNNNNNNNNNNNNNNNNNNNNNNNNNNNNNNNNNNNNNNNNNNNNNNNNNNNNNNNNNNNNNNNNNNNNNNNNNNNNNNNNNNNNNNNNNNNNNNNNNNNNNNNNNNNNNNNNCUAAACCCCACUAACAGCUCGGCCCGAGGCCACUAACUAAAACAUAUUAGUUUUUAAUAUAAACUGUAUUUAGACCCUGAGUCACUGACGCGCGGGUCCCACCGGACCCACUAACUAGUCAACCAUCGACCAGUCAACUCCUGAGUCAGCAGUUGAUUGGACCCAAUGUCAGCCUCUAGUGCACCUGUGGGUGUACUGCACCGGGUGCACCCAGUUUUAACCGGUGUUUUUUUUCAGAAUUAAUAAUUCUAGAAUAUUGUUCAAACUUUGAAAAUUCAUAGAAAUUAAACCGUAACUCUGAUGACAAUGUUUUCUACAUGAAAGUUGCUCAGUAAAAUGUGAUGAAUCCGGAUACGUGGUCCGUUUACUUGUCAGAUGCCUCUUACUAUCUGAACAUGGAACAUUCCCCCUCCGGUCAUCUGUCUGACACAGGUCCGGAACCUGGAAUACAUUCCCGAAUGAAUUCCCCCUUCGCCUAUAUCGUGUAGCCAUACAUUAUGUCACACCCGGCACAACUUAUAGCCACGUUAUGCUUUGUGAUGCUAUGUUUGCUUUAUAUUUACUGUUUCUUCCCCCUCUUCUCUCCGGUAGACCCCAAGACCGAUGCUACCCCUGUGAUCGACUACGUCGACGACGACCCCUCCUUGCUAGAGCAACCAGGCAAGCCCCCCCCCCUUUGAUCAUCUCGAUAUCACCCAUUGCAUUCUCUCAUGAUUGCAUUAGAUUUUUCUAUUGUUAUUGUUUGCUCCUAUUCUGAUGCAUAGCCUGCUUUUGUAACCUGCUUAUUGUUACCUUACCUGCUUAUCCUAAACUGCUUAGGAUAGGUUGGUUAGUGAUCCAUCAGUGACCCCCACCUUGUCCUUGUUGCCCAUGCUUCGUCAUCGAAGACCCAAUCAACGGGAUUGAAGACCAGGCCCCGGCACCGCACAUCACUUUACCCUUAGUUGCUCGACACUUCUAGGUUACUAUCGAGUGCCGAGGGUGAGACCUCUACAGCACUUCUUAUAUUAACCAUGUAGUGUAGCUAUUCGGUCGUGGUCAUCGAGGGUGAUUCCGCCUUAACCACUUCCGAUACGACUCUGUCGUGCAACCCCUCAAGUGUGAACCUUGGGGGUGAUUCCUCUUACGUUCACCUUGAUGAUUACAUCGAGUGGAAUUCACCGGGGGUGAUUCCUCGGGUUUUCCCCUUGAUGUUUAGACACACAGUUACUAUGAUUACUAUGACUUUACACUGAACCAUGUUACUAAAGACGGGUCGACCCUGAGGGGUACCCGCGCGAGCAUAAUUGCGAGUGAUGUGGAGUCGGGUUGACCUGGAGGGUGCCCAGGAGAUAAUUACAAGGCGUGGACGGGCAUUCUUAGCCCUUGCCGCAAGUCCUCGAGAUGGGGCAACGGGGUCACAUCUUUCGUGAGUCUUUGCUUGUUACCGCGUGUUCCUAAUCCACUACGAUUUGGAUAUUUGAUCCGAGGGGCCUCUGGCCUGAUCGCACUAACCAUCACGUGGGCAUAGUAUGGGCGUUCUGCGUCGUAUACAUCAGCUGAAGCUUAAUAGACGUCAGCGACUGAGCGGCGCGCGCCGGGUUGGACUGGUAAGCACCUACUUUUUUAAAGGAGGUAGCUAGGUCUGCUCACCGGCCGCGUACGCAACAUGCAGGAGUUUUCGGGGCGAUAGCCCAUGACCCCUGGGGGUAUAGGUUUAGUCCGGCGUGCUGGCCUCUCUAAUAAGCCUAGGUCGGGUUGCCGCGUAUUGUUUGGCCGAGGCCGGGCAUGACCCAGGAAAGUGUGUCCGGCUAGAGUUAAUCGAGCGUGGUGGGUAAGUUGGUGCACCCGUGUAGGGAAGAAAACAUCUAUCGAUAGCCUAUCCUACGGUAACGGACACUUGGAGUUGUGUCCCGAUUGAUACAACUAGAAUUGGAUACUUGUGAUGAGAAUUGGAUUGUGAUGAGAAAUGGAUAGUAUGGCUCUGGGAUUGCUUUCUCGCAGGGAGUCGAGAAAGGAUCUCUGGCCGAGGUUGAAUAACACUACUACUACUUUAUCUUAUGCUACUCUACUCCCUCCUGUUUGCGGCAAGAUUGUGGUUUUCAGAAGAUGCUAGUCUUCGAUAGGACUAGGCCUUCUCUCUAUUCUGGCAUUUCUGCAGCCCCGUCCACAUAUACAACCUUUCUUUGAUAAUGUUGCAUAUGUAGUGUAGAUCCCUGCUUGCGAGUACUUUGGAUGAGUACUCACGGUUGCUUUGCUCCCCUUUUCCCCCUUUCUUUUUAUUUCCGGUUGAUGCAACCAGAUGUCGGAGCCCAGGAGCCAGAUGCCACCCCAAUGCCUACUACUACGUGGAGACCGCCGACGAUCAGGAGUAGUUAGGAGGCUCCCAGGCAGGAGGCCUUGCCUUUUCGAUCGUUGUUGCUUUUGCGCUAGCCUUCUUAAGGCAAACUUGUCUAAGUUAUGUCUGUACUCAGAUAUUGUUGCUUCCGCUGACUCUUUUGUAUUUGAGCUUAUGUAUUCGAGCCCUCGAGGCCCCUGGCUUGUAAUAUAAAGCUUGUAUUAUUUUAAUUUGUGUCUAGAGUUGUGUUGUGAUAUCUUCUCGUGAGUCCUUGAUCUUGAUCGUACACAUUUGCGUGUAUGAUUAGUGUACGAUUAAAUCGAGGGCGUCACAAGUUGGUAUCAGAGCCGACUGCCUGUAGGUAGCCCCCUUUCAACUCCUUGGCCGAAGUCGAUUCUAGUCACUACAAAAAUUUUACUAACAUUUCUGUGUGGCUUACGGGCCCACGUUGCCAUUGGGUGGUAUUAGGAUCUUUUAUUCCUCGUCUUUACUCUGGGACCCUAAUCUAUCUUCUAUUCGGGUUAAAGAUUUUACUAACUCUAACCUUAGGUUCUCGUAACUACUUCCUCCCGGAGAGCCCCUCAUUCUAGAUGGUCGCUUGGUGCACCAGAAGAUUCGGAAGAUACUCUUCGAUGCUUUCCCGAGACCCUUGUUCCCUUCGCCGUUGCAAUUCCCUACCACCGAUAAAUCCCCAUGGAUAGCUACAUACACUUGCCAUCCAUACCUUCUUUUCCAAUUGCUCUUGUUCCUACAAGAUACACUGAAAUACUUUGCAAUUUUUCCGAGAAUCUUUUGCGCCUGCUGCCUUGCAGCUCCUUUUCCGCCUGAAUACCCAUACGAAUAAUUCUUCACACUUAUCGGGGAUUCGUUCAUCCCCAGUUGAUCAUAUGUCUCACAAAAUUCUUCGAAUGCAAUUCGAUCUCCCGAUGAUCCUCUAUAGCCUAGUGCUCCCGAAAGUCUUGUCUGCCUGCAUUAUGGUUAAAUCCAUAUGUCCGACAAUAUUCAUUGACAUCCUUUGUCAUUGUCAUCCUAAGCCUAUUGAUUCAAUAUGUUGCGUUGCUCGCAAUCAUCAGUCAAACCCUAAAAUUUGACCUUCUUGCUCAUAUGUCAUUUUGGACAUGAGUUGGAUCUCGGCCAAUCAUGUUGUAAUUGAUUGUCCACCUAGUUCCCUUCAACUUGAACAUCGAAAUUAUUCAGCUGCUUCUAUAAUCCGAUGACUUUGCACUAUUUCUUCUUCUGGUUGAGCAUUGUUACUCACAUCAGAUUCUUUGUGGUCAGCCAUAUCCUUUGGUGGAUUAUUAUCUAACCGUUCCUGCCUAUUCUCUAAUCCUUGAGUUCUUCCCCUCAUACAUAAUGCCUUUGAUAAAUUGUACCCUCUGCUUAUUGUCAACCAUGCUCUGCUAUUGAGCUGAUGUUAUACGCUCUGGAACUUAGUGGUAUAUGUUCCUAAGAUACCCCUACAAGUUGAAUCUAUUCCUUCCCUAGUCCGAGUGAACUCGAAAGAGAUGUGAGUCAUACUCUUCUGGUGCUUCACCAGAUAAAUCUUUCGCACUACAAAUUCUUCGAAAACAAGGAGUGAAUGAAAGGUUAUGCAUUGAAGAAGUGGGAGGUGACCUUGAACCUUAGUGUUCAUGCCCAUGGGCCCGAUGUAGAACGUAUCAUGGAAGCUGCUCGUAAAAACAAUUACCCCUUGUUAUAAGUUCAUCUGGUAUCAGUGAAUUGAUCCUUCGCAACCGUGGUUUCAACCAUGAUUGUCCUUCUUUGGUCCCAUUUCUUGGACAAGUUAAAUCACUUGUCUUCUGCAGGUCAAUACGCCUGCCCAACCUCUAUUAUGAUCUACCUUCGAGUAUUACCCCUGGUAUCUUGAGGAUAUCAUGCCAUUGCACUACAUCUUAUGAACUUUUGAUGGAGUACUACCUUACCCAUGUCUUUGUCACAUCAAGGGUUCUGGGUUGUUUGUCAACUGAGAACACCGAUAAGUGAAUCGAUUCCACACUCUGAUUCAAUAACUCUAAGUAUUUUUUGUUGCUUACGAGUUUAAUAAUCCUUCUAGUCAAUCCUAGCCUGGUCGACAAUAUCAUUAUCAUGCCAAAUUUUAAUUGUGCUACCUGGUUCUUCUUCCCGGAGCACAAUUUUGGACGAUGAGCUAAGCAUAUUUCGCUCUUCCUCAUCAUAUCAUUUCGCCUUGAACAACAAGCUUGUUUUCGAGUUUGUGCCAUACAUGUGGUUCCAAUAACCUUAUGCUUCUUCAUUCCUUUGACUUGAUGUCAUCGCCAAUCGAUUACAUCUUCAUGAAAUUUCUCGACAAAUGUAUCGUGAUCAUCAUCAACAUCCUGAGCUCUUCCAGGAUAUUAAUUAAAUUCAUGAUGAGAAAUACCAUCCUUGACCUUUGAUGAUUUCAGUUAUCAUCGACAACCCCCCUUGUCUUCUUUCCAACACAUGUUUGAUCAUGUCUUGGUUAUACCUUUGACUCCUUGCUAUUCCUGCAAUUGUUCCUUGAGUAUUUCUUGUGAUCUUCAACUCCAGCCCCUACUUGGAACACCAUGUUAAUGCUACCUCGAAGCAUGACUGAGGUAUUCCGAAUAUCAACAAGAACAUUGGAAGCACAUUGUCAAAUGUUUCUUGAUCUAUUAUCCAAACACCGUUGUAUGGGUAAUAUCAAGAUUCUUCCCUCGCCCCCUUUAUCUAAAUGCUUUUGAACUUGUUGUUAGAUCAUGUAUAUCCUGCUCCGCUUCCCCUUGGGAAGGAUAUACUCCUAAUUCGUGUGUGUAAACACAUUUUCCUUUCCAUUGGUUUGUUAGUCUUUCUUUUGAUCUAUAUGAUAAAACAAGAAAUAAUUCCUUGCUUAUAAAAACACCUCAAGGUACAGUUCAUUCAGUACGACCCUGUUACUAAUGUUGAUGACAUUCCGGUAACCACCAAUGGACGAGAACUUUGCCUACUAGUCCGCCUCGUUCAACGAGAAGGAAAAUGGUUCUCUUCGUCCCUCACCCUUAGUACCAACGUUGUUGCCAACAUAACUGACAGGCUAUCCUCUGACCUGCCUUGUUAUUACGACCGUACAAAAUGUUAGCACCCUUCCUGCUUUUAACCCACAUGGUGGGCCCAUAACCCACAGUUCCACAGGAUCGAAACCUGACAAAUGUACACCCCUGUUUCCAAAGUUGUCCCUCGUGCUUGGCUUCGUAUGUAAAUCACGAGUGACCUACCUAGUGAUCUAUUUUGGUAUCAUACGCAAUGCUUUUUCACAUUGCUCUGAGCCCCUUUCACCCUCUGUUUUAAGGCAAUGAAUGAUUGCCUACCCGGUUGAAGCUUCUUAUUGUACCUCCUUACCUUGCUCUCGACGUCUUUCUUGAAUUUCGACUCACGACAUGGCAUUAUGCCAUGUUCACUGAGAUAGCCCCUAGGUACCUAUCUUGUGCUGAACUCCGUCCUUCCCGAGUCUUUCCCCCUUACUCCACCCCUUAAAUCUCGGGACGAGAUUUCUUGUAGUGGAGGAGAUUUGUAACGCCCGGGUAAUUAAGCUACAGUAAUCCUCUGCUAAUGGUGUCACAUCACCACGAUUACUGUUGAUAAACUCCCGAUGGUUCGAAACCCAGUUCAAAUUUCAAAUUUAAAGUUAAGUCAAACAAAUAAAGUUUCCAAAUGUCAAAACAAAAAUGUUCGUUGGGUUGCAAAUAUUCACUAGCUAAUUAUCAUGUGUCAACCAACAUCAUUUGGCUCUCCCUUUAAUCCCUAGGAAAAUAUAAAGUGGCCCAGCAACAUUUAAUUCGGUCGUUUAAAAUUUUAACAAGUAGUCUUACAUUUCCCAAACCACUUGAAACUUUGUGGGACUCUCCAAAAUAAUGACCACUAAUUAUGUGACAAGUUUCAUGUUGAAAAAAACUCAGUUGGUAAUAAAUUAAAAUGUCAAGCAGUGGUGAAAUGAAAAAGCAGAAAGGUAAAAAAAGGAAAAGACUGAAAUCCUACUGUGUCUUUGGGCCACAUGUGACCACAGUGCACAUCGCCCAGCCCACCACAGCCUUUUUCCCACUCCUAUGUUCCUUUGUACAGAGAGGAGAUAGGGGCCAUGGCGUGGCAUGCAUCCACCCCCACCAUGGCCGCUGCCUUCGUCGUGUCAGCCAUCCAGGGCCGGUCCUGAGGGAGGGCGAACGGGGCGGCCGCCCCGGGCCCCCAAAAGUCAGGGGCCCCCUCCCAGGGUAUGUGCACGUAUAUGUAUUACUUCGAGCGAAAAUAAAAAAUGAAGGCAAAGUGGCGAAGUCAGCGACGGCUCAGCCUAGGAAAGAAAGAGAGAGAUGUGGGCCUUGCCAAUGUUUGCACCACGUCCACGUAUAGGCACAAGACGUGCACAGGAAAGGAAUCGCUGGAUUCACGGUUUCCUUUUUCUUCGUGAUCGUUCGGUCGUUCUUCCGCUGAUACCGCUGUUCUGUUCGUCUAAUCGUCGUCUUCAACUCUGCGUCUCUACGGCCUCCGACCGUCCGACGAACGACGGAACGAGACGACGAUCGCGGACUGCAGCAGCCAGUAGGUACAUCUCUCCUCGUGCCCUCUGCGGCUCUGCCGUGCGGUCUGCCCUCUCUUCUAGUGUUCAGUGCUCUUCCUGGUUUUCUUAAUCCUAAUUCCCGAAUCAACAUGUCAAUAUGGAAUUGCUGGCUGGGCGAUCAAAUCUUCGAGGAUUGAGCACACAUAGGCAGAUUAGAUUACAGAGACAAGGUACUAUAUUAUGCCCUACCAGAUUUUUUCAUGAUAUUAGAUGAAGAUCAUACGUAAUUAAUCUAAUAUUCUAAUUAGCUUUCUGCUAAUUGUUCCUUUAAAUUUCAUCAAGGUCAUGUCGGCUCUGGGUAGAAAGUAUCCAUCCGCAAGUCAUAAAAGAAAAAAGAAGGAGGCGGAUGAGGAGAAAGAGGCAUUAAAACGACCAUUUUAAAAUAUUAUAAGAGCAAUACGAGCACUUCAAGAAAUCAAGAGGAGUUGCCGAUAGUUCUCGCAGUUGAUCAAAAGUCAUUCCGAAAGAUGAUGGUCAUACCCUUAUAAAAGAUGAUGUUGACAUCAACAUGGAUGAUACCAAUGUGAGUGAUCACGAGCCUAUAUUUAAUUCAAAGCGGCAGAAUAUGCAGGUUUUCUUGAGAAACCGAUUAUUACGGUAGUCUUGAUAACAAAACGAGGGACAUAUUAGUGGAAAAUGGGCCUAAAAGAAAAUAAGAAAACACUAAAUAUCCUUUGCAUAAAACUUUAAAACAUUUUUGUAUAGUCCUUACUCAAGAGAAAUGAGUAAUGGAGAGGUGCGUGGAAUUAUAUCUAAUAUGAUGAUUACUAGUUAGACGAUUAUACUAAGGGCCCCGGAUUAUAGUUUCGCCCCGGGCCCCUGAAAUCUCAGGACCGGCUCUGCAGCCAUCCCGCGGUCCUCCUGGUGGAUAAGAACGUCGUCGCCCCCCCGAUCUGGAGAGGCAACCGUACGCGACCGCCGCCGCCGCCUCGUCGUUGACACGCUCCGAAACCAGCCCGUCCCGCUCGAAGGUGCCAGGAGCUGCGCCUCGACGUCCUCUACCUCCACGACAAUGCUCACAAGCAGGGACCUCCCCAAGCCAUCGUCAUCGGCCAUCUUCAUCCUCGAGCGCCGCCACUUGCUCGUCAUCGAUUCGGUCGACUCCGAGCAUCCCCGGCUACCCUGAGCUCCUCCCCGAACUCGUUGUGAGCCCCCGGUCCCCCUACACCUCUCCUUGCUUCCCCGUGCACCAUAGACGUCACACUACUGGAGGCCGAAGCCACCGUCUGCCAUGGCCAAAGGAGCACCGCGCUCCCGUACUCGCUGCUACACUGCGCCUUCUGUGCGCGCAUCCGCCGUGCCCGGCUCUGGCCGCUUCUCACUCUGGCCGCGUCCCUUGCAGCCGAGCGUCCGGCCUCGCCUGGCCGCACCCUUGGCCGUCGCGCCCGCUUACACCCGCCGGCCCUUGCGUCGCUUGCUGUCGCCCCGAGCACUGCUGCUUGCCUCACACCCCGCCGCCUUAGCCGCUUCGGUCGCGCCAACAGGCGUCUGGCCGCACCUGCCAGGGCCGCCGCCGCCCAGAGCCUCACCCUGCUCCCCGCCCCUUGCCGCUGCUGGGCAAGGCCGCCGGCGCCAUGCGCCCGUGCGAGCCCAGCCGCCCCCUGCCUCUCUUAAUUUGGGGGCUAACCCCCCCCCCCUAACUCUAACCCACUCACCUAAACCCCACUGACAACUGGGCCCCAGGCCACUAACUAAAACCUAUUAGUUUUUAAUAAAAACUAUAUUUAGGCCCUGAGUCACUAACGCGUGGGUCCCAUCGGACCCACUGACUGGUCAACCAUGGACCAGUCAACUGCUGAGUCAACAGUUGACUGGACCCAUUGUCAUCCUCUGGUGCACCCGUGGGUGUACUGCAUCGGGUGCACCCAGUUUUAACUGGUGUUUUUUUUCAGAAUUAAUAAUUCUAGAAUAUUGUUCAAACUUUGAAAAUUCAUAGAAAUUAAACCGUAGCUCCGAUGAAAAUGUUUUCUCCAUGAAAGUUACUCAGAAAAAUUUGAUGAAUUCGGAUACGUGGUCCGUUUACCUGUCAGAUGCUUCUAACUAUAUGAACAUGGAACAUUCCCCCUCCGGUCAUUUGUCUGACAUAGGUCCGGAACCAGGAAUACAUUCCCGGUUGAAUUCCCCCUUCACCUAUAUCAUGUAGCCAUACGUUAGAUCACACCCGGCACAGCUUAUUGCCACGUUAUGCUUUGUGAUACUAUGUUUGCUUUAUAUUUAGUGUUUCUUGCCCCUCUUCUCUCCGGUAGACCCCGAGACCGAUGUUGCCCCUGUGAUCGACUACGUCGACGACCACCCCUCCUUGCCAGAGCAACCACGCAACNNNNNNNNNNNNNNNNNNNNNNNNNNNNNNNNNNNNNNNNNNNNNNNNNNNNNNNNNNNNNNNNNNNNNNNNNNNNNNNNNNNNNNNNNNNNNNNNNNNNNNNNNNNNNNNNNNNNNNNNNNNNNNNNNNNNNNNNNNNNNNNNNNNNNNNNNNNNNNNNNNNNNNNNNNNNNNNNNNNNNNNNNNNNNNNNNNNNNNNNNNNNNNNNNNNNNNNNNNNNNNNNNNNNNNNNNNNNNNNNNNNNNNNNNNNNNNNNNNNNNNNNNNNNNNNNNNNNNNNNNNNNNNNNNNNNNNNNNNNUCUCAUGCUUGCAUUAGAUUUUGCUAUUGUUAUUGUUUGCUCCUAUUUUGAUGCAUAGCCUUCUUUUGUAACCUGCUUAUUGUUACCUUACCUGCUUAUCCUAAACUGCUUAGGAUAGGUUGGUUAGUGAUCCAUCAGUGACCCCCACCUUGUCCUUGUUGCCCCUGCUUCAUCAUCGAAGACCCGAUCAACAGGAUCGAAGACCAGGCCCCAGCACUGCACAUCACUUUCCCCUUAGUUGCUCGACACUGCUGGGUUACUAUCGAGUGCCGAAGGCGAGACCUCUACAGCACUUCUGAUGUUAACCCUAUAGUGUAGCUAUUCACUACUAGAAAUCCCCUUAUAACCGACAGUCAAAUUACCGUCGAAUAUUUUAGUUCACCGUCGGAUAUCCUUAUAGCCGACGGUUCACCGUCGGCCAUCUCCCGUCGGCUUUGCUUUGUCGGCCAUUACACUAAUAGCCGACGGUACGGUCGACUAAAACCUUCACCCACGGUAAUAAGCUGACGGUGAACCGUCGGAUAUGUGUUGGUCGCGAGCCAGCUCGCAAUAACUUGACGACCCUUAUAGCCUAGGGUUACCCGUCGGGUGUAUCAUUUCAGACAAUUAUUGCUCACCGUCGGAUUUUAUAAUGGUCGACGGUAUACUUCACCCGACAGGGUUAGUGACUACCUUGAGGGGAACCAAGCCCUCAGCUAAUAUGAUUGCCGAUAGUCGAUACACCCCUUUGGGGAAUCUUUUAUUUGAGAGUCCAAUGAACACCGUCAAUUUUAUAAUUCGUGUAUGGCAUUAGUUACACCUCCUGUAUUGCUUUGACAGGAGGGUGUUGCACAAAAGGGAACUGUGAUUCACAACGGUAGCAUUUCACAAUAUUGGCUUAAAUGUGUCACAUAAUUACACAAGCACACAUCACAAAAGACCAUAAUAUUAUAUUUAACAUAACCUCAGAAAGUAUCACAAGCCCAAUGAGUUGCAUCCAAAUUACAUUGACCGUAAUGAUCCAUCUUGGAAGUGUCAAAUGCAAAACAAAAUAGUAACUAAGAUAUUAUUGUACAAAUAUUUUGCAUAAGCUAAGUUUGCCAUGAAUUUCGGGAAAUUCUCUUUAUUGCAUUACUUGAAGAGAUCAUCAAAUUCAUCACCAUCAUUGCCAUAGUUAUCAUACUGCUCAUCGCCAUAUGGAUCAUCAUUACCCUCGACAUAGAUGUCUUCUCUCUCUUUGCCUCCCUCUGGUAUGUCUUUCACAUUCCCUAAGAAACCGUAAUACUAGUUGUAAGAGGGAUGAAGUAUGUAAUGUACUUGAAAUUUAGUUGACCUCCAAGGACCAAACUUAAUAUAGUUGUUCAAAUUUAAUUGAACUGACACUUGAUGAGCGAAAGACCAACAUGUGAUAUAUACAACUUUGAAAUAGGAAGAGACUCAAUGUGUACCUCUAAUGUCAUGUAAAUUAACAAAAUCAUAAUUAGCAAUAUAGUUAGACCAAAAUGGUCAGGUGAUACAUGUAAAAAUAAUCUUUAUCUGAAAGACAGUAGUUGUGUGGAUAGUUAGUUCAUUGGCUUUAACUUGAGAACAUUUUACCAUACUGUAUGCUUUAACUUGUAAAGUUGCGAUCAUACAUGGGGUUAAUUAGAAUCGUGAAAUUUGCAAUUUUCUGCAUGGCUCAAUUAAGGUGUGAAGGUCAUGAUUUUUUUUUGUUGAGAAAAGAGGUUCUGAUCUAUUUCAUAUGCAGUAUAACCUGUGCUGAUUUUCCAGGGACCUAGCUCCUCUACAACUAGAAUUUCUGUUACUGAAUUACAACACUCACUGAAAAAUACUGAUCAUGUGUGUAUUGUUGAUCUCUAAAAGAUAGAAAUAUUCAGUUUGGCUCCCAAGUAACAAGUUUCUACAGUACAUUUGUAGAGAUGUGCAUGUGAGAAUGGAAAAACUGAUGUUAUAAUUAUGCUCAAAGUAUGAUACAACAAACUGCAGUUAGCACUACAACAUAUGCUUGUAAUAAAGUGCAUGAAGCCAAGUGCAUCAUUAUGCUCAAAUUAAGAUGCAAAAAACUGCAGUUUGGCUCCCUCAUAGUUAGCCGGCUUUGCUACUGCAACAUGUGAAGAAGAGAAACUACAAAGUGGGGUUUCACCUUGCUGCAAGCCAAUUAACCUACACGAGAUUAUUCACACCAGAUAUGCAGAACAAACCUUAAUGGCUUCAAUAUUUUCUGCUUGACAUACACAGCAGACUGAAGUGAUGUGAACUUGGCAAGUGAUGUAAUGAAAGCAUACCUUUGAGUUUUCAUGGACAUAGCUGCAGUGACAAGUAUUACACAGCGGAAUCCCUCGAUGCACUGGCAUGCUACAUUCUAGCCGCUACUUCAUAUAUGACAUGUCCAUCUAAUUCUGGUAACCCAGGGCGGUGGGGAGGAGAUGGGAAAGGAUAAGGGGUUAGUCACUAGAUAUUAAUUAUGGUCAAAGAAGAGUAAGUGAUUGGCUAGCAAAUUUAUUUUGAUGGCUGACUGCACAAUCUGAACUAUACACCUUUGAAAAUGCAUUAGACUCUUGCGCUUGGAAGUUUAGAACUACUACAUUGUUGCUUUGUAAAUACAGGCAUGCUCACUUGCUGGUUUUAUUUUGGUGUGUAGGCAAAAGUUAAAACUGAACCACAAUCUCAGGUUUAGGGAUGCAAAUGGCAACUGAUCACAAAAUGAUUUAGAAACAAGUGCAACCCUGUAACUUUCAGCAAGAGAAAGAGAAGUACAGUUAGCUGUUUCAGAUUUAAAGAGACAAUUCCGUCUUUCACCGGAUGCAAAAUAUUUUUUUAUGUGCUCACUACUUGAAAAAAACUAACACAAGUUUACACCACCAGUGAAACAUCUUAGGCAUCACAUUGAUUUUGGUCGUAUAUCAUUAGGUAGGUAUCAGCCCCUGUUGUAGUCCUCCUAUUCCACUAUACAACAAACUCUCAAAAGAAAAACACAACACUUAUUUGUUUGCAUCAUCAAUUGGUAAAGCUUCCGGUGCCUAAACGUACUUAUGCUGCUGAAUAAGAAUAAUUUAUGUUGUUGUCCACAAUGUCAUGGUGCAGCAAAUCGUUUGCUGUAGGUGUGCAGAAAAGCAACAAGGCAAUAAGAGAUAAUGUGUUCUUCGUGGAAAUACAUAUGCUGAGACACCAAGGAUUCGUGGUCAUCCCUCUUCAACACUACCUACAAGAACAUUAGGAAGCGGAAAGGAGUGCAAUUACAAUCUCAGAAUCAGAAAUCCAAAAUUGCAAGUGUACAUGAGGGGGGGCGUAAAAAAUACUUAAUUUACUUGUCGUUCCUCCAGAUGCAAAGGAUCCAGCAGGAUAGCAAUAAAGAACGAUCUGUGAAUGUGAGAUUCAGGGGAGACACGGCGGCUGGACUGUCAGGACCCUGACAAGUUGUUCCUGUUAACUGAAGAACGAGACACUAGCUCUGAAGAAAUAGAAUUCAGUCUCUGGGAAUCGGACCGCUGGGAUCAAUUGGGCUAAAUGACCAUCGAUGGCUCUCCAGUUUCCUGUUCACCGUCAACUGUUGCCGCCACCAGCUAGACAGUAACAGUGACGGCAACGACUCCUUCGGUCCCACGCCUUCGUCACCUGCCUCCAACGAUAAAAGGCCCAGCCAGCAUUCUGGAAAAGCAUCUUUCCCCUUUCUCCAAGUGUAAUAGCUAGCUACCUUAAGAACCCUAGAGUACAUGGUAGAAAUUGGGCAGAUCCUCGAUCUGAACCCCUGUAUCUAUAACUCUGAAUUUCGAGAUAAUAUCAAGCGGGGCUAGUUCGAGUAAUUGUUGAGUUGUUGUUGUGUUGAGGUCCUAUCAAUUGGUAUCAUGAGCCAGUGAAUCCUCGGAGGCGAAUCGGAUCUGACUACGAACUGGGGUUGGGAUCUCUCAUAAAAUCCCCCAAAUUCAGUCUCGGAUCCCGACGACGGUGCAGACCAGCGGAUCAGAGGCGGCCUGGAGUAGGCAUCGAUCGGCUGCAGAUUGGGGAGAAACUCGGUUGCGGCCAGAACAAUUCCACUGUGGUAAAAUUCCGUAGCGUAUCCCCGGUUGGUGCAGCAUCAGAGGCGAGCGAAGUGGAGUUUUGGCGGCGGCAGGCAAAGGUCACCGGCGAGGGUUUCGGACUCGUUCCGCAGUGAAAUUCCGGAGCCGUGCAGAUCACCAUGCCAACCCGAACCAAGCACAUGGACGAGAUCUCAGAAGAGCUCGAAGCCUUGCAGACUGAGUUGACCGUGCUGGGCUUGAAGGAAGAUAAGAUGCAAGAUCAAAUCGAUCAGGUGAACACGCGCCUUCAGAUAGUUGAAUCCUUGGAAAAGCAAUUGGGAAAGGUUGAGCUCUUGGUCGAGAAUAAUUCCAAGGUACAGCAAGACAUCUUCGCCAUACUACGUGAAAUGCGAGCAGAGAAACCUCCCUCCCCUGUUCCCCAAGCGUCUGCUUCUUUGGUUGUUCAACCCAGCAUACAACCACAGACCCAACCGGAUCCAGGGGCCACAACAGCAAAUUCCACAGGAGAAACUCUUACCACGCCACAGGGACAGCAAACGCAACUGCUAAACAGUUUGACAGGCAGAAAUGUCAGUCAGCAAACUCCACCAGUAGUGAUUACUGCGAUGCAACACCAAACUGACAGAGCAAUGCAGUUUCUGAAGAGCAUUUCCAAAGGUCCUAAGAUAGAUUUCCCUACUUUCAGCGGGGAUAAUCCCUUGGGAUGGAUCAGACAAGUCAACAAAUAUUUUCAGCUGGCUCAAAUUCCUGAUGAGUGCAAAGUGGAUUUAGCAUUGACGUACAUUGUUGGGAGGGCUGAUAAUUGGGUCAGGAGUGCUAGAAUGGAAAAUAAUAGAUUACCAUGGCCAGAUUUUUGCCGAGCAUUAUGUGACAGGUUUGCAGAAUCUAGCAUUUAUGAAAUACUGGAAAAAUUCCAUAGCCUCAAACAGAACACUAUGUCAGUAGCUGCUUAUACUGAUAAGUUUGAGGAAGUAAUGGCAGUGGUUAGGGAUGAACAUCCAUACCUGCAAGAAAACUAUUAUAUAGUGAGCUUUGUCAAUGGACUUAAACCCAGCAUCCGAUGUAAUUUGAGACCACAAAGACCUACUACUCUAAGCCAGGCAUAUUGGCUUGCCAGAGACUAUGAAAGUGGACUGCAGGCAAAAUAUCUGUCUUACAUCAACCACCAAGAAAAACAGUCUCAAACUCACUCUGGACAGUCCAAAACUACUAUCCUGCCAGCUCCUAACUUACAAAUCCCUCCUCCAGCAGCAGCUAUAAGGAAACCAGGGGUUUGUUGGAGAUGCAAUGGACCUUGGGUUCCUGGUCAUAAGUGCAAACAAUCUCCUGCACUACAUGCCAUUGUUAGUGAGAAUGAACCUAAAGAUAUGUCACCUGAAGAAGAAGCACAAUUAGCAGUACUAACUGCAGAAUGGCAAUUUACAGAGCUAAUAGAUAAAUGUAUGCACAUCUCUGCACAAGCUGUAUCAGGGGACUCCUCUGAAUCCACUAUAGCAGUGAGCAUUUUUCUGGGAGGAAAAAAAGGAGUAGCCCUAAUAGAUACUGGGAGCACUAAUACAUUCAUUGAUCUCAAAUUUUCCCUGAAGGCUAAUUGCCAAUUGGUCAAUACCCCAACUCAAAAAGUGACAGUGGCUGGUGGUGGUUCUUUAAAUUCAGGAGCUGUUGCACCGAACACUAAUUUCAAAAUAUACAAUGAGGACUUCUCCAAUGAUCUAACAGUGUUAGAUUUCCAAGGCUAUGAUAUUGUUUUAGGGUGUGAUUUUCUGAAAAAGCACAGCCCUCUAUCAAUGGACUUUGAUGCAAGAACUGCCACUAUCAACAAGGACAAGACACAGUCUGUAACAUUUGCAGAUUGUACAGUGGCACAACCACCUAAGCUCAUUUCUGCAGAAAAAGCAGAGAAGUUAUGUUCACAGGGAGCAGUGGGUUUUGCAAUGAGUCUCCAAUUUAUGACCCAAGUCAGUAACUAUAGUUGCAUAUCUACCCAGCCUGAGCCAAAGAUUACAGAGGAACCCUUGCCAGUUUUGGAACAAUAUAAGGAAUUGUUCACAGAACCAACUAAUCUGCCACCCACCAGAGAAUGUGACCACACCAUUCCUCUUAAAGAAGAUACCACACCCCCCAAUGUGAGACCAUACAGAGUCCCUCAUUUACAGAAAAAUGAGAUGGAACAGCAAAUUCAACUGUUGCUUUCCAGGCACAUAAUUCAGCACAGCAUGAGCCCAUAUGCUUCUCCUGCUAUCCUUGUCAGAAAAAAAGGAGGAACUUGGAUACUUUGCAUAGACUACAGGAAAUUGAAUGCACAAACAGUUAAAAACAAGUUUCCUAUACCUGUCAUAGAGGACCUCCUAGAUGAGUUACAUGGAGCAGCUAUCUUCAGCAAAUUGGACUUGAGAUCUGGUUAUCAUCAAAUUAGAAUGAAAACUGAAGAUGUUCACAAAACUGCAUUUAGAACUUAUUCUGGACAUUUUGAGUUCUUGGUUAUGCCCUUUGGCCUCACCAAUGCACCUGCUACCUUCCAGGCCUUGAUGAACAAAAUCUUUGCACCCUAUUUGAGGAAAUUUGUGUUGGUAUUCUUUGAUGAUAUACUAAUUUUCAGUAAGACUCCAGAAGAACAUAAGGAACAUCUGGCCUUAGUAAUGGAAUUGCUCAAAAAACACCAGCUCUUUUUAAAUCAAGCAAAAUGCACCUUUGGUACUCCUACUGUGGAAUAUCUUGGACAUGUUCUUUCUGCUCAGGGGGUUGCUACAGACCCUGACAAAAUCUCAGCUAUAAAACAAUGGCCAAUACCAUCUACAACAACUGAAUUAAGAAGUUUCCUGGAUCUGGCAGGUUACUACAGAAGAUUUAUAAAGGACUGUGGCCUCAUUUGUAGACCACUCCAUGAUCUUCUAAAAAAGGAUGCAUUUCUAUGGCCCCCCUACAAACAGAAGCUUUUGAGAAAUUGAAGUUCAGUCUAUCACAUGCACCAGUGUUAGCAUUGCCUGAUUUCUCCAUUCCUUUUGAACUAGAGUGUGAUGCAUCUGGAGCUGGGAUUGGAGUUGUUCUCAUGCUAAAGCACAAACCAAUUGCUUACUACAGUAAGUCUCUAGGGCCCAAAGCAACUGCUCUAUCCACCUAUGAAAAAGAAGCCAUAGCAAUCUUGGAAUCCUUGAGGAAAUGGAGGCAUUAUUUCCUAGGUUCUUCCUUACUAAUUAAAACAGAUCACCAGAGCCUUAAGUUCAUCACAGAACAGCGAAUUUCUGAAGGAAUACAACAUAAGCUCAUGUUGAAGUUGGUUGAGUUUACUUAUACAAUUGAAUACAAGAAAGGUAAGGAGAACAAGGCUGAUGAUGCUCUGUCCAGGAAACCCCAAAUGAUGGCAAUCUCCAGUGUAGUGCCUAGCUGGACUGAAAAGCUAGAGCACUCCUACGGUUCUGAUGAGAGAUGCAAAACACUGAUAGCUCAACUUACCAGUGGGGCCAAUGAUCUUCCCCUGUACACCUAUACUGCUGGCAUUCUCAGGUAUAAGGACAGAAUUUAUGUUGGAACAAAUGAAGAAUUCAGACAUAAUCUGCUCCUUACUUUUCACUCAUCCCCAAUUGGAGGACAUUCUGGAAUUAGAGCCACCUACCAUAGAAUUAAAAGAAUUUUCUAUUGGCCUAAUCUUAAGUCUGCAGUGGAGCAAUUUAUUCAACAGUGCCCUGUCUGUCAGAGAGCAAAAGGAGAACAUUGCCACUACCCUGCAUUGCUUGACCCCCUUCCCAUCCCUGAUAUGGCUUGGAGGCACAUUUCCAUGGACUUUGUGGAGGGACUCCCAAGAUCACAAGGCAAGGAUGUGAUUUUGGUGGUAGUUGACAGAUUUACUAAAUAUUCUCAUUUUAUUUCCCUAGCACAUCCCUUCUCUGUCACCACUGUCUUACAGGCAUUCAUUGACAAUGUAUUCAAGUUACAUGGUAUGCCAGUGUCCAUGGUGACUGACAGGGACAUGAUAUUCACUAGUAACUUUUGGCAAGCAGUGUUCAAACCUCUGGGAGUUAAACUUAACAUGAGCACAACCCACCAUCCUCAGUCUGAUGGACAAACAGAGCGAGUCAAUCAAUGUAUGGAAGCAUAUCUUAGAAGCAUGGCUUUCACUGAACCAAAAAAGUGGUGCUCUUGGUUAUCUUUGGCAGAAUGGUGGUUUAACACCUCAUACCAUACUGCAACAAAGUUUACUCCUUUUCAAUGCCUUUAUGGUUUCCCCCCACCACAAAUUGGAGAGAUUUCUAUACCAGGACCUGAAGAUACUGAAGCACACUCAUUCUUGGAACAAAGAGAACUUGUACAGCAACAGUUAAAGCAUAACUUACUGGUAGCUCAGGAAAGAAUGAAGAAAUAUGCAGAUAGAAACAGAACAGGUAGACAAUUUCAAGAGGGAGACAUGGUGUACUUAAAAAUGCAACUGUACAGAUUGGCUGCAUUCAACAUCAGAUCAGGGCUCAAAUUAGCCACUAAAUUCUAUGGUCCUUACAGAAUAUUACAGAAAAUUGGAAAUUCCUCAUACAAACUACAGCUACCAGCUAGAGUGCAGAUACACAAUGUGUUUCAUUUCAGUCAACUCAAACGACACUUAGGGCCUAAUGCAGUUCCAGAUCCAGACUUGCCCUUGGUGGAUGCAACUGGUAAGGUUAAAAUAGCCCCCAUCUCGGUGCUGGAAACAAGAGCUGUACCCAGACAACCUCAUUUGGUCACACAAUGGCUAGUCCAGUGGCUGAACAUGUCGCCUGACGAAGCUACAUGGGAAGACGCCGAUUUUAUCAAAGUCACCUUCCCGAAGUUCUUCAACAGCACCAUUCAUUCGUGGUUUCCAAAUUCCGAUCCUCGAGGACAAGGAUCGUCUCCAGGAGAGGGCAGUUGUCAGGACCCUGACAAGUUGUUCCUGUUAACUGAAGAACGAGACACUAGCUCUGAAGAAAUGGAAUUCAGUCUCUGGGAAUCGGACGGCUCGGAUCAAUUGGGCUAAAUGACCGUUGCCGCCACCAGCUGGACAGUAAUAGUGACGGCAACGACUCCUUCCGUCCCACGCCUUCGUCACCUGCCUCCAGCGAUAAAAGGCCCAGCCAGCGUUCUGGAAAAGCAUCUUUCCCCUUUCUCCAAGUGUAAUAGCUAGCUACCUUAAGAACCCUAGAGUACUUGGUAGAAAUUGGGCAGAUCCUCGAUCUGAACCCCUGUAUCUGUAACUCUAAAUUUCGAGAUAAUAUCAAGCGGGGCUAGUUCGAGUAAUUGUUGAGUUGUUGCUGUGUUGAGGUCCUGUCAUGGACGAACCUUCAAAGGGAGUUCUUGUAGGAGGGGCGACAGUUGGUAAAAGAUCGAGAGAAGAUAAUUGUCGACCAUGGAAACACCAUGUUCAGGUUCGGACAUUGCCUCCACAGCAGCAGAUCCGGGUUCAUGGCAUCGGCAAUGGCUCCAGAUCUGUGGCGGCCACUACACCACGACACUGCAAAGACGACAUGCGUCUGUUGGUAGAAGUGAGCAUCGCCGACAUUUUUUGUGUGACAAACUAUGCCGACACACAAUUCGUUGUUGUUAUAUAGCAUCAUGACACAUUAUUUGUCGCCAAAUCAUCACCGGAUCACCGACACAAUUGCUGUCGGCAUAUACUAACUUUACUGAUAGUUUGUCUGUCGCUGAUUCAUGGGGACAAAAAAAGUGUCGGUGUUGUUUCCUUCGGCCCGCACCCAAAAAGAAUGGCGCGGAAAGAGAGCCAGCGAGCCAUGUGAAACACCCGAGCCGGACUAAGGAGGAAAAAAAGGGAAAGAAAAAAAAUGACAUACCCAAAUACCCCACCCUUUUCUCUCGCUACCCUGAAAUAGAGUGCGCCGCUCGCCCCGACCUAAACCUAAUCCAGUGCGCCUCCUCCCCAACCUGCACGCCGCCGCCCGUCCCUUGACCCCCGCCCCCUCGCGCCACACGCCUCCCAUCAUCCGCUCAGGAGCAGCAGCGCCUUCCGCCGCGUAGAGGAGCAGCCGCGCCGUCCGCCGCGUAGAGGAGCAGCCGCGCCAUCCGCCGUGCCGAGUAGUAGCACCUACCACUGGGAAGGAGAAGCAACAAGGUCAACAAGGCCCACCGUCCGUCGAUGAUGAGAAGCAGCGCCGUCGCUUCUGAGGAGCCGCCGGCCGUUCUUCUUCCUCCACCGACGACACGUGUACCUCCAGAUCUCAACAAGUAAGCCGCAAAUCUUCCCGCUGCCUGCCCUUGUUCUCUCUCCAUUAUUGGCAACGAGGUCAAAUUACGGUUUUGAAAUUAGAUAAUACAGGAGAUUAAUCGAAGGGGAAAAGGAACAUAUGACCACCAGCUAGCAUAAGGAUUUCAUUUUCGGUGGUUUGAGGCAAGAUCCGCUCUUCCCUGCCAUGGAUUUUGAUGGAUAGCAGGUUCUGUUUGAAAGGAGAAGAGAUAAUGCAGGGAAGAAGAAGUCACUCAGUUUACUAGCCACUACUGACAUUGAUAUUAUGACCUUCCCAGGUUUAAGGGGCAUGGCAUGUUGGCACCAUUCGCUGUUGUAUGGCAGAGCAAUGAUGUGCAUCCAUUGGUUAUUGAGAGAUUUGAGGUUGCAACUCUCGAAUUAUAGCAUUAUAUAUGUUUACUUCUCAUGCAAUGCAGCGUUUGAUAUUGGAAAUGGCAGCUAAGACGUUCAUUACAGUAUGCUACGGUUGUAAACAAUGUAUCUAUGUUUUGCUUAUACAAUGUUAACCUAUAUAUGCAGGGUUCUUAUGUUUAUGACAUCAAUGGGAAUAAAUAUCCAGAUUCUCUAGUAGGACUGUGGUAUACAACUUUAGGUAUGUAAAGUACAAUCUUUGGAGUGUGAUUUUUGUGAUUAUGUACCAAAGAAUUGUUCAUUCUUUGGGAUAAUACCGCGCAUCACCAUUUUGUUUUUGCAUUUAAAAUUAAUGUAUAAAGUCUAAUUUGUAUUCUUUGAGCUUUUAGUUUCUUUUCAUCUAUAUCAUUUUCUACAUCCGAGGUGGUACUAUUUUACCUGCGUAUCUUUACCUAAUAAUUAAGGACAGAAUAAUUUGGGCUGAGCCUUCCUUUCCUAAUAAAAAACAGAAACAUGAUGUGUGGCUGCACUAGGCCUGGUCUCCUUUCCUAUUUUUUCAUCGAUCUCCUUCUUCCAUGAUGAUUCUUUUCGGUAAACCCUAAACCCUGCCGAUCAACCCGGUCUCCCACCUGAAAUCGAGUGCUUCACGACUCGGUCUCUCGCCCGUAGUCGAACUCCCUUUCCGUCGAGACGUUUCGUCUAGCUCCUCCCAUAAAUAGGUUGCCCGAGAGAACAUAACAGACGGAGCUGCCGGAUGAGCAAUGUAAACCAAGAAUGAUCUCACAGGCAAUUCAUCCGGGUGUGUGCCCUUGCCGAGGCCACAGCCGAGGCCAAGCCAACAGGCCCACAUCGUCGGGAGGUUUCUCGCAUUUGGAUUGGCUGCACCGGCAAGGUCAUCUAUAGUACGAUAGUUGACAACAAUGAGGAGAUCUUCAGGAUCUCCGAUACGGCGUUCACGUGGCCGUUAGCGGCGGAAGAUCCCUUGCUCAGCUAGAAAGGCACGCCAUCGUCAUGGUCGUUGAUAGCGUAUAGCGCAUGGGCUCAUCGACGUGAUGGCGGUGCCCGUUCCAGGGUGCUCUUGACGUCUUAGGAUGCCGAGCACGGCGGAGUGGACAGCCGGCCAUGGGUGCUGGCGGAAGGAGGAAUUGUCACCAUGUGUCAAUGGCUGCGGGGGAGGGUUCCUCAUAUACGGUCGCCCCCGCUCCGUCUCCAGAUAGCCGCAGCAGGAAUAGCACACUCCCUUGGACGAGGACGACAAGAAGCGGCAGAAGCGGCUGGCUGGAUGGAAGCCGUGCAGGCGGGCGGGCGGACGGCUCGGCUGAGGUGGCCGCAGCGGCCAGGGAUUAGGGAGGCGGCAACUCACUGCCUUAAAGUAAGAAGGAGGCCGACUUGGUACACGCACGUGUCCUCCGAGAAAAGAUAAGCAUCCAGAUCUCGUGCAGUUUAUUCCAUUGCUAAUGCUUGUCGGUCUAAUUUGUGGUUUUCCUGCUUAAUGGCGCUCAACUUGGUUGACGUUCCGGCCUUAGCUUCCCAUCCAUGCGGUCCAGUGGUGCCCGUUCCUCUGCUGUUUUGUUGCGAGGGCGUAGCUAGCUUCGAACGACGAGGCGUACAAGUGGGCCCUACAGGAUGACGACGAGCGCGAGGUCGCCGGGCGGCUCCUGACCCUCACUGAGAUCAUUGGUUGUGAGUGCAAGAGACAGAUCUUUCAAAUUUCAAUCACGUUUUAUCCCACUUCCUAUUCGGGAUUUGCUUAGUGUUACGUUUUUCAGUAGGGGAAGAGAUGAGCAUGAUGUUGAAGAUGACGAAGGCGAGGAAGAUGGGGAUAGCGUGCAGUUGACAGUUCCAUCACAAUCAUUGUUUGUUGAUUUAUGUGUAUGCUUGGGCAAUUAUGCAGCUUUUACAUGAAGAUUAUAACCCUUUUAUUUUAUUCAGGUAUUGUCUUUUAUUCUAGAAUGCUUACACAGAAAAGAUUGCAGAGCUGUGAUUAAUUUGACUAAUCAGGAACAACGGCUCGAUAGUCUGGAUGGUGCCUUUUGAUUGUAUCCAGCAGUGACCACUUUUGCUUGUGGACUUUGGAAUGAAUCUGAUCUUUAACAACAGUGAGCAACUUGCAGUGUGGGGUUUCGGCAUUCUCUUGGCCACCUGAAUGGCUUGCAGAAGCUGUGCGGGCGAAGCUGACAGUUUGAGAUGGUCAUGUAUGAAAAUGAAUUUCAGAGAUUCAACUUUGUGCCGGCAACUGUCAGCUUUCUCCUGCCAGUUGGUGUGGCAGGCGGAUCAGAUUAGAAGACUAGACGUGUGCAGCAGCUGGUCCUGUGAUGUAAAAUAAUAAUUCAAAUCGCCUAUGAGAUGUAUCCUAACAAUCCUGAAGAUCUCGGUGCCAACUCUAUAAUUCAAAUAAUAAUUCAGGGCCCCGUUUGAUAACAAAGUAUUUUUAAAGUAUUCUGAAAAUACUACAUUUUUUUAUGUUACUGUAGUUUUAUUUACAUAAGGUUGUUUGGAUGCCUCUAAAAACCAUGAUUUUAAUACUGCAGUUUUUGCCAAACCACAGUAUUUUCUUUGUAUAAAAAAAAACCUCAUACCUCUUUUAAAAAAACUGAGCACCCGAAAAGAAGGGUCGGACGGAGCUUAGGUAGUAGGCAAGGUGCAAGUACGAACUGUCUGAGUUGAGGUCUUUUAGUUGUUCGUUACCUGCGGCUGCAGUACUUGAACACUCUGCUUCUUUCAUCGGCGUUGGCAAAAAGCUGACAUGGGAAUUUUUUCACUCUUCCCUGUUGUCUAUAUGGUGACUCAGAGGAUGUUUUCAUCACAUUUUACUAGGUGGUGACAUUUUGUUUGAUUUACAUAAACAACUGUAUGUGGCUCUUAUGUUACAGAGAAGAAUGUUUGAGCCAAAAUCUAUAUGUUCGAUUCAUGUGCCUUCUCCUUGCAAAUGUCUGGUAUGAAGAUUUUCCAAGUACCUAUUGCUCAGAGGUCAUCUGUUAAUUACUCCACCGGCGUCGUUGUCGCUAAUCAUCAUUAGUCUAGUUGAUCUAUAUAUUCUAGUACUACAAUGGCUAGCUAGCUUCAAAUGCAUGCACGGCUAAAAGCUAGCCAGGAAAUUUUACAGCGUUUUGUGACGUAGCCAAACAGGUCCUCUGUAUCGUGAAUACUUCAAAAAACGUUGUUAUAGUAAAACUAUGGUAUGUUGUACCUACAUCCUAAAUUACUGUAGUUUUUGAUACUUUGGUUUUUGUAAUACUUUGCUAUCAAACAGGGCCUAAGUUCCUAAUGGAAGUAUCUUUUUGUGUGUGUGAUCAUGCUUCCUUUACUUCUAUAGCUAAUUUUUUAACUGAAGAUAUUUUUGUUAGUUGGACGGGAGAUGAUGCUAUAUUGCCAGUAGAUAGACUAGGGUGCAAACUGUCUCAAUAUGUGCAAAUAACAAUGCAAACCAACCUCGUAUUCUUUGAAGAACAAACUGAUAUUAUGGUUACAGUUUUUAACAAAAGCAAGGAAUCUUAGUAAGCAUUAUAUAUUGAUGCUACAUGGUUUGCUGCACCUUAGGACUGUCAACUGGGCAUGGCCUUACAAAUUGCGUGCAUUAUCUGGCCAACCAUUCUUCCUUUUGCUACCUCAACUGACAAUAAACAUUGUAGUAAUGUGUUGUUUAUGUCAAUUCCAGAUUCUCGAAUACGUUUCUGACCUCGCGCAAUUGAUCGUCCGUCUGGUCUCGUCGUCCAACGACCAAGAGUUCUGAGACAAUGUCUGGUGCCCCUCGGGAAACAUAGGUGAGAUAAUCUUGCACUCGGUUCUUAAUUAUAUUUUUCCUAUAGUCUUCUGUGUGUAAUAUUGGCACUACAUUAAUGUAAUUUCUAUUGUAUUCAUUGUUAUAUAGAACGACUUUAGCAUCACAGGAUGUGCAAUAAUAAGAGCAAAAUUUAUCAUCCACUUUACAGAGAAAAUUCAGUAUCAAAUGUACUUAAACACACUAUGUUCACAUUUAGACCCAUUCGUCAAUGUAUUUCUUGUUUUACUUCUGGUGGUGCUUGAUUACACCCCUCUUCUUUUGUCACUUUUUAUUCACCCCCUUAUUGUACUCUUCUCAUCACUGUAUUUGUCCAUCAGUCAACCCUUCUCUCCCCUUAUGCUUCCCUCUUUUUUCUGAUAUUCUUCAAAUCUCUAUGCCUUAGAACAAAUCUGAUUGCUUAACAAUGGGAGCAUAAUUUUAUUAGUAAGCCAUGUGAUAUGAUAGGACCUAUCUUGGCUUUGGUUGAUCUUCUGAUAGGGAUAUCUUAUGUAACCAAACUAUUUGCAAUGUGUUCUAUAUUUUUAGAAAAUGUUUUAGAUCUUUGGAAUCAUUGGCAACUCGCAAGUUUGAACAAAUUCUCAUUUCUAUGAUUGCUCAAACAUACAAGUUCUUUUGCAGGGACAUGGCAGAAAGUAGCAAGUUCACAAGUUGAUCUAAGAUGUUCUGGUGAUCGCUUUUGUUCAUAAAAUGGUAGACACAUUUUGUUCAUAUGGAAAUUGAUGCCGCUUGGUGAUUGAAGGAUCGGUCUCUUUCAUGAUAUUUGUAGUAGUCAAGUGAUCAAACAGUUGGUCUCUUAGGGAUUAGCCCUUAUAUUUUGCAGCAGGACACAUCUUGUAUGUCGACUUAUGUAUUUUCUUCAUGGUUGUAACAAACUUGAGUGCAGAUAACUAAUGCUCAAUAUAUGUUGAAUAAAUGUAUUAGUGAUUGGUAUCUUGUGAUGAAUAGAAGAGUGCAAUUAUUUGUAUAUGUAUUGUGCACUGAACAUGAAUUGGAUACUAUGAACGUAACUUUAUUAAAAAUAUGGUGCAAAUGCAUUUUCUGCUGAAACGUAGAACCCUGGCAGCAAAAGUGUCGGCAUAAGUAUUGGGCGUCGCACUAUGUGUCGGCAUAGCUCAUUGGCAGACAAACUGUCGACGUAAGAAUGGACGUUGCACUAUGUGUCGGCAUAGCAUGGUGGCAGAUGAUCUGUCGGCAUAUCUUAGUCUGUCGGUAUAGAAAUGUCUGUCGCCAUAGAUCCCACCAACCCCAUCAAAUUGUCUGUCGGCGUAGAUUUAUCUGUUGGCAAAGACCUUUCCCGACAAGACUAUAGGCGACAACUCGUUUCUGUCGUCAAAAGUCUUUGCCGACAGUAAAUGUGUCGCCUUAGGUGACCUAUGCAGACAGAUUGUUUGACGCUGAUUUGAGUCUCGUGGUGUAGUGGGCCAUGACACGACCUGGAGGAUUGCUCCAGUUGAGGACGCGACCACAACGGUUGGCCUCAAUGGCGGCUCCCUCCCUCCACGCAGCGACGACGUGAGGUGGCAGGCUCCCCUUCGAGUCGUGAGUAACCAUCCGCCCACGGCAGCGGCAGCGUCAGGCACGAGCAGGCGAUGAUGCCUCUCUUCUUCUCGGCGGGUCGGCUUGGGCAACAAUGGAGCGGGAAUCAGAGGCAUGACCAUUUUUUUCUCUUCCUAAUAAUGAGGAAGUGGGUAUCGUGCGACGUGGGCUAUGAGUUUUCCGCUGGGGGAAUUUGUUUUAGCUGCCGGUUGUUUUUAGUACGUGGAGGGCCUUAGUUGUUCCCGUUUGCUUGCGUGGUGAUUUUUUUUGACAAAAAUUCGGAUCUAUUCAUCAAUUUUAGCAGUAUAAAGAACACUAGAGGUAAUAAUAAAUACAGCCAGGUCCAUGGAGCACCUAACGACGACUACAAGCACUAGAGUGAGCCGAAGACGCGCCAUCGUCAUCGCCCCUUCCUUGCCGAAGCCGGGCAAUCUUGUUAUAAUAGACAGUCGGGAAAUCGUCUUACUAAGGUCAACCAGGGCACCAGAGCAAGAACCAUCACCGAUGAAGAGAGUUGUAGAUUGGAAAGAUCAAACAUGUAACCACACGAACGAAGAAAAACAAAACUUGAUCCAAAUAGAUCCAUCAAAGACCAGCACCGACUGAAUCCCACGAGAUUCGACGGAGAUACACCUCCAUACGUCCUCCGAGACGCUAUUCGCACCAUCAGGACAAGAUAGGACGUGAGGCACAUCAUUAAUUAUUGGAUUAAGAAUAUAUUUGCGAAACCGCGUGGAGCUUCGCCAUGAAGACGUAUGCAACCACCGGUUCUCUGGUGGAGAUCCUCCAUCCCUUCACCAGAGCCCUAACCGAUCCGUCGACCAUCCACAUGAAGAGUUGACGAUGGAUCUGGGCGUGGAUCUAGAUCCGCGGCCGCCGCCAUGCCCUCCAUCGCUGGAGACCUUGGAACCUGCGGGUUGUGGCAGGUAGCGCGGCCGCCGUAUGACCAGGAGCGCCGCCCUGGCCGCUUUGCACAACUCCCUCCUGGCCAUGCCCCAGCCGCACUGGGAGAUCGCUGCGCAUCUAGAUCCCGGUUCUUUCGGCAUCGGGGUCGCCGCCACUGCGGCCUACGCCGGUGGUAGCGGUGGAUGGGGAAGCAGCAACGCGAGGGUCUCUGGUGGCGUGAGCAUUCACCCCUGGGAGACGGUGCGAGGAUCAGGGUGUGUGUUAUAGAAUGCUCAUUGCCUUGGAUGAUUGACGUUUUGUGUUGCAGGUUCCUUCAUCGUCAACUUACUUUGGAUAAGUCUAUCUUUAUUGAAUUAGACAAAGAUGCAUGCAGUACAUAUAUAUUUUCAUCUUUAAUGUAUGUGACUAUAACGCUAAAACAUUUUAACUAUUAUGUGCAUUCAUAUUCAGCAAUGAAUUAAGAAAAUUUGUAGUUAGCCUCUUCACAGCUAUACUCUAGUCAAUAUUGUCUUUCAUCAUCAACUAGGUCAAGAUCUCACAUAACGCUUGCUCAAAUCGUACAUGGUAUAAAUAUCAUAUACUCCCUCAAAGUGCACAAAAAACACUUGCAUGGUCGUCCUGGACAAGGUCAUAUAUCGCCCUUUACUGCUAGUAAAGUUGAUGUAGAAAGACAUUCUUGACGCAUUAACCCAUGGUUUAACUCACUUGUCGUCAUUUACAACAAAUAGCAAUGUAGGACCUAAUGUACGACCUUAUCAGAUAUGUACCCCAUGCAUGGUAGUAGUACCAGCCGCCACUACCGACCACAUGGGACCAUCGUCCCGGUUCCCGCACACACGAUGAACCUCCUAGCGCUGCUCCCAAAUGCCUCAGUGCCUCCAUUUGGAAUAUUCUUAUACGGAGUGAUAUGGAAUAUAACAUCCGCCAUUCUACAUUUAUCGAUGUUGUCCAUUGAAACAUAUCAUCGAGAGGGAAAGUUAACCGUCGGUUAUUACUAUACACUGUCAGGUGUUUUCAUAAAUAAUCGAGAGGCACACAUGUAUCGUCGGCCAUUUUCACACAUAGGUGAGAGUUUUCUUUUCACCUUUGGCUAUUAAGUUUCACCGUCGGGCAUUACAUCUAAUCCCCGUGGGUGUGGCAAAAACCAUCGGGCAUUACAUGUAAUCCCCGAGGGGGCACCAAAAUCCGUGGGGGUAUUACAAUUAACCGUUGGGCAUUACAUGUAAUCCCCGUGGGUGUAGGGAAACUCGUCGGGCAUUACAUGUAAUCCCCGUUGGUGUAGGAAAAACCGUCGGGCUUUACAAUGAACCGUCAGGCAUUAAGUUGGACACCCGAGGGGUGGAUUUUCACCGUCGGGCAUUGUAGUAUACCGUCGGGUAACUGGUAACACUUGUGAGUUGACAUUAACCAUCGGCCAUUGCAACUACCGUCGGCUAUUGCUGUAAUAACCGACGGCCCGUCGGCUAUUAGGUUUCACCGUCGGAGAUAUGGGGAUUUCUAGUAGUGAUUCGGUCAUGGUCAUCGAGGGUGAUUCGGACUUAACCACUUCUGAUACGACUCUGUCAUGCAACCCCUCAAGUGUGAACCUUAGGGGUGAUUCCUCUUACGUUCACCUUGAUGAUUACAUCGAGUGGAAUUCACCGGGGGUGAUUCCUCGGGUUUUCCCCUUGAUGUUUAGACACACAGUUACUAUGAUUACUAUGACUUUACACUGAACCAUGUAACUAAAGACGGGUCGACCCUGAGGGGUACCCGCGCGAGCAUAAUUGCGAGUGAUGUGGAGUCGGGUUGACCUGGAGGGUGCCCGCGAGAUAAUUACGAGGCGUGGCUGGGCAUUCUUAGCCCUUGCCGCAAGUCCUCGAGACGGGGCGACGGGGUCACAUCUUUCGUGAGUCUCUGCUUGUUACCGCGCGUUCCUAAUCAACUACGAUUUGGAUAUUUGAUCCGAGGGGCCUCUGGCCUGAUAGCACUAACCAUCACGUGGGCAUAGUAUGGGCGUUCUGCAUCGUAUACAUCAGCCGAAGCUUAAUAGACGUCAGUGACUGAGUGGCACACGCCGGGUUGGACUGGUAAGCACCUGCUUUUUUAAAGGAGGUAGCUAGGUCUGCUCACCGGCCGCGUACGCAACGUGCAGGAGUUUCCGGAGCGAUGACCCAUGACCCUUGGGGGCAUAGGUUUAGUCCGGCGUGCUGACCUCUCUAUUAAGCCUAGGUCGGGUUGUGGCGUAUUGUUUGGCCGAGGUCGGGCAUGACCCAGGAAAGUGUAUCCGGCCGGAGUUAAUCGAGCAUGGUGGGUAUGUUGGUGCACCCCUGCAGGGAAGAAAACAUCUAUCGAUAGCCUGUCCUACGGUAACGGACACUUGGAGUUGUAUCCCGAUCGAUACAACUAGAAUUGGAUACUUGUGAUGAGAAUUGGAUUGUGAUGAGAAAUGGAUAGUAUGGCUCUGGGAUUGCUUUCUCGCAGGGAGUCGAGAAAGGAUCUCUGGCCGAGGUUGAAUAACACUACUACUACUUUACCUUAUGCUACUCUACUCCCUCAUGUUUGCUGCAAGAUGGUGGUUUUCAGAAGAUGCUAGCCUUUGAUAGGACUAGGCCUUCUCUCUAUUCUGGCAUUUCUACAGCCCAGUCCACAUAUACAACCUUUAUUUGAUAAUGUUGCAUAUGUAGUGUAGAUCCUUGCUUGCGAGUACUUUGGAUGAGUACUCACGGUUGCUUUGCUCCCCCUUUCCCCCCUUUCUUUUUCUUUCCGGUUGAUGCAACCAGAUGUCGGAGCCCAGGAGCCAGAUGCCACCACUGAUGCCUACUACUACGUGGAGACCGCCGGCGACCAGGAGUAGUUAGGAGGCUCCCAGGCAAGAGGCCUUGCCUUUUCGAUCGUUGUUGCUUUUGUGCUAGCCUUCUUAAGGCAAACUUGUCUAACUUAUGUCUGUACUCAGAUAUUGUUGCUUCCGCUGACUCUUUUGUAUUCGAGCUUAUGUAUUCGAGCCCUCGAGGCCCCUGGCUUGUAAUAUAAAGCUUGUAUUAUUUUAAUUCGUGUCUAGAAUUGUGUUGUGGUAUCUUCCCGUGAGUCAUUGAUCUUGAUCGUACACAUUUGCGUGUAUGAUUAGUGUACGAUUAAAUCGAGGGCGUCACAGGUUAGUUACCACAUUGGCAGUUGAAGAUAUUGCAACAGGAGUAGCAGAAGAACAUUCAGCAACAGAAGUAGCGUUAUCACGCUCAAUGCAUUUUAGACAUGGUGGUUCAAAUCCUUCUUGAGUGGGACUAAUCUGUUGAGCGCGAAGUGACUCGUUCUCUUUUUGAAGAUCUUCAUGAAUCGCUUUCAAUUUCUCAAGAUCUUGCUUCCUUUGAAGAUAAUCGUAGGAAAGCUUUUCAUGAGUUGUUGUGAGCGUUUCAUGACGACUUUUAAGUUCUUCGUACUUAACAUGAAGAUUUUUGAUGUCUUCAAUUAAGGACUGAGAUUGGGUCAUUUCCGCGUCCAAUAGGUCAUCGCUUUUGUCUAAUAGUUUUUGAAUAUGUUCCAUAGCUUUCUGUUGUUCAGUUGCAAUUUUAGCAAGUGUUUUGUAACUAGGUUUGAAUUCACCAUCAGAGUCAUCUUCACUUGAUGUUUGAAAGUAGGCAUCGCGUGAUUUUACCUUGGCACCAUGUGCCAUGAAGCAGUAGGUGGGAGCCGAGUCGUCCUUGUCAUUAUCAUCAGUGUUGGUGACGAAGCCAUUGUCUUCAGUGUUGAAGAUGGACUUGACGACGUAGGCUGUAGCUAGAGCCAGACUCGCAACACCAGAGUUAGACUCCUCCUCAGACUCCACCUCCGCCUCCUCAGAAGCAGACUCCUCCUCUGAAUCCAUCUCCUUGCAAACAAAAGCACGAGCCUUGCCAGAUGAGCUCUUCUUGUGUGAUGAAGACUUGGAAGAAGACUUUGAGGAUUUCUUCUUCUUCUUGUCAUCAGAAUCACAUUCUUUGCUCUUCUUCUUCUUAUUCUCAUUGUCCCACUGUGGACACUCAGAGAUGUAGUGACCAGGUUUCUUGCACUUGUGGCAGGUUCUCUUCUUGUGAUCAUCUGUGGAAACUUCAUCAUUUCUUGAGCUGGAUCGUGAAGACUUUCUGAAGCCUUUCUUCUUGGUGAAUUUCUGGAACUUCUUCACAAGCAUAGCAAGCUCCUUUCCAAUGUCUUCAAGAUCACCAGAACUGCAGUCAGAUUCUUCUUCAGAUGAGGAAACAACCUUUGCCUUCAAAGCGCGAGUUCGGCCAUAGUUGGGGCCAUAGAUAUCUCGUUUCUCAGAUAGCCGAAACUCAUGUGUGUCGAGCCUCUCAAGUAUGUCAGACGGAUCGAGAGUCUUGAAGUCAGGGCGUUCUUGAAUCAUCAGGGCUAAGGUGUCAAAUGAGCUGUCAAGUGAUCUCAGUAGUGUCUUGACUAUUUCAUGCUUCGUGAUCUCAGUGGCGCCGAGUGCUUGGAGCUCAUUUGUGAUAUCAGUGAGGCGAUCAAAUGUGAGCUAGACGUUCUCGUUGUUGUGUCUCUUGAAACGGUUGAAGAGGUUGCGGAGAACACUGAUCCUUUGAUCUCGCUGAGUUGAGUCGCCUUCAUUGACCUUGGAGAGCCAGUCCCAGAGUAGCUUCGAUGUUUCCAGAGCACUCACACGACCAUACUGUCCGUUAUUCAGAUGACCACAGAUGAUGUUCUUGGCAGUAGAGUCCAGUUGAACGAACUUCUUGACAUCAGCAGGGGUGACACCUUCACCAGUCUUGGGAAUGUCGUUCUUGACGGCAUACCACAGAUCGACAUCAAUGGCUUCAAGAUGCAUGCACAUCUUAUUCUUCCAGUAGGGAUACUCAGUGCCAUCGAAGAUGGGGCACGCAGCGGAGACUUUGAUUAUCCCUGCAGUCGACAUAGCUAAAACUCCAGGUGGUUAAACCGAAUCACACAGAACAAGGGAGUACCUUGCUCUGAUACCAAUUGAAAGAGCUAGUUAUCGACUAGAGGGGGGGUGAAUAGGCGAUUUUUAUGAAAGUCUUCAAAACAUGGGAGUUUCGAAGAUAAACAAUAGAAAUGACACUAUUCAUAUGCAGCGGAAGGUAGACUACACUAGACAGGCCAUAGUCAAGUAUUCAAUGAAGUGAAAGCACAUAGAUUAUCAGUAGCUAGGUAGUAAGGAUCAAGAUGGAAGAUAGUAUGAAGCCAAUCAGGACAAGUAGUCACACAGUGAAGUCAAACAGAUAAUGCUAGCAGGCAAUGACUUCACGAAGACAAAUUGUAAGUAAAGAGAAGUGAGAGAUAGAACCAGUAGCUUCGGGAGGACAGAGAUUUGUUCGACCAGUUCCAGUUGCUGAGACAACUGUACAUCUGGUUAGGGAGGCUGAGAUACAACUCAGAAGAGUGCGUCUUCACCUUAUUCCCCUUGAGCUAAAGACACCUAGUCCCCGCCCAAUCACUCUGGUAAGUCUUCAAGCUAGACUUCCAAACCUUCACAGACUUCGUCCAUCGGCAAUCCACAAUGACUCUUGGAUGCUCAGAACGCGACGCCUAACCGGCUGGAGGAUUCACAGUCCUCAAGUGUAACAAGUCUUCAGAUCACGCGGACAGAAAGACUUCAGUGAUGACAUGUUUGGGCUCUGGGUGGUUUGGGCUUUGUCCUCGCAAGAAUUCUCUCUCAAAUGCUUCGGAGGUGGGUUGCUCUCAAAAGACAAAAGCCGUGCACUAACUCGGAGCAGCCACCAAUUUAUGGUGUAGGGGGUGGGCUAUUUAUAGCCACCGGGCAACCCGACCUGAUAUGUCUGAAAUGACCCUGGGUCACUAAGGAACUGACAUGUGUCCCAACGGUCAGAUUUCAAACACACGCGGCAUCUUGACUUGGGCUACAAGUAAAGCUGACUCAUCCGACUCUGGAUAAGAUUUGCUUUCAUUGUCUUUGCUCGAAGACAUAGGAUUAGGUUGAGCAUCACUUCAGUCACUCUGACUUUGUUCACUUGGACCCCACUUAAUAGUGCGGUGGUUCCUAUGACUCAACAAAGAAGAAAAGGAAACACUGAAACAACUAAGUCUUCGUGCUCCAUAGUAUUCAUGCAAUGUCUUCUCAUGUCAUAGUCUUCAACGUGAAUGGCUUCAUAGACCACCAUUGUCUUCAAUGUCUUCACACAUUUUUAGGGGUAAUCUCCGGUAGGUAAACCGAAUCAAUGAGGGACUACUACCUGUGUUAUCCUGCAAUUCUCACAAACACAUUAGUCCCUCAACCAGGUUUGUCAUCAAUACUCCAAAACCAACUAGGGGUGGCACUAGAUGCACUUACAGGUACAUACCUCCGGUCCCGAUGGCGGAUACCGACCGGUAGGGGUAGGUUGUGUCACGACCUCAUCGACUCUGAUUGACAGAAAACAUAGCACAUCAAUCCCCAUGUGCAGUUGAUCUCAUCAAUCAUGCACAUAGCCGAUCUGAUAAACGACGACAUAUCUCAUCUGCCGCCUCCGCAUAUCUAAUAUGCAUACGAUCUGAAUCCAAAUCCUAUAGCAGAGGCUCUAAUACCGCUGUUGGGUUCUACGGUAGGGUGCGUCGACUGCAAAUUAAAAUUUUCCUACGCGGAGAACAACCAGGAACAUGCUAGGGGAGAUAGAUCACAGAUUGUUACCACUAGACGCGCAGUGCCAUGCAGCGGAAGUAGAGUUGAGGGAGCGUGUUCCCGGAGCCGCCUUGCAUUCCCAGAGUCGUCUCCUCCUUGUCGGUCUCCCACGUAGCUGAUCGGAUCCCGCGAACAGGCUCUCCGUAGCAGCGCAAGUGCACCGCCUCUAACGGUAUCCGCGCGUGCAGGAGGAACGUCAUGCGGCGGACUGUUAGGUCCGAUCACACAACCGGCGGCGAGUGGAGGUGGCUAUUCGCAACACAUGCAAACCCUAGUGAUAGCGCCGAAGCGAUCAAUCGCAUGAGUGUGCCGCACCUCCACUUUAUAUAGGCAUCCGUCGUGGGGUCAACACUUGGGCCUCGCACGGACCCUAAAGCCCAUAAGUCUAUUCGGCCAGAAUCCGAAUACAGCUCGGAUCGCAUCCGACCAGUGUCCUCGGAUCCAACCUCGUAGGUUCCUUCCCUUAAGCACGCGACCCCUUAGGCUCAAGUCGGCUUGGUCGUAGUUCGGAUCACCUCCGAACUGCACGGUUGGUAGCGGCCUCUAGCAAGGCAUGCCGAACACCAAGCAGACUAUGAAGCUAGUUAGGCAAACCUGUACAACAUGUCACACUUCUGUUCCCUUUGCCUCAUGAUAUAUGUUGUCGCCUCAAGGCAAGACUGUCAUCCUGGUGCUAGCCCGACCUCUUUCUCGUUCCAGCGAUACCGACCACUUUCCAGAUUAUCUCAUAAUCCUUGUCGCAUGGCCAUGCUUCUCUUGGUCGGAUCACACGAGGGGCCCAGAGUAUAUCUCUCCUAGUCGGAGGGGCAAAUCCCAUCUUGCUCGACCAUGUCUUGCAGCAUGGGUCUGGAUAAGCCCGAAACCUACCUUUGUAACUACCCAGUCAUGGAGAUGGAGUAGCGUUUGAUCGGCCCAAAGCAAGUAUGUCACCAUCCUGAGUACAUGCGUCAGCUCAGGUCUUAGGACAUAGAACGUAUGUUGUACUAGAGACUCACAGAUGACGUAUCGCUGCGUCUCAUAGUUGGGUCUGUCCGACUCGGAUCCGACUACGUCGAAUCCGACCAGACCUUUCCAAGUCCAUAUUAUCCGAUUAGCAUCCAAUGCUCCAUGGCUAGCGAGACCGAGCCAUCGACCGUGUCAUAUGCUAGUCUAGUUGGCUGCGCGUCCACACAACCCUUUCAACUAGGGACCUUUUAGGACAGUCAUCAUACAAUGCAUAGUCCCACAAACAAGUCAUGUAUUUGCUGAUACACAUCAUUGAUAAUGUCCAAGGGCUAUCUUUAUUCAUAAACACAUAGGAAAUAUCAUCAUACAUGAUUGCCUCUAGGGCAUAUCUCCAACAAAGGUAUGGAAUCAACACUUGACAUUGAAGCAACUCAAAUACCACAACCAAAACAAAAACAAAGGACUUAGCUUGCAGAAUAAGCCAAAACAAACAUAUAAUAGAGAUUUUGUCCGAAGUUUUCAUGGUGGGGCCCACACGGGCUCGAUCAUACAACACCAUCAUGUACAAGGCAGUGCACAUGGCAUACGAUGCGUCCCUGAGUCAGCAUAGCCAAGGACUCUUUAAUACACAACGAAACCACUGUAAAACCAACCGUGGAUAGGCGGACCAGUAGACGUCGAACCCCAAUCUCAUAUCAUGCAUCUGUCGGAAAGAUAUCCUAGGUCACUACUUGAAUUCCCACCUAUGAACUCCCAAAACUUUCUGGUUAUGCAAUAUGGUGUUGGGGAUACAGGGAGGCAUAAAUAUCUCACACAGCUAACAAAUCCUACACUCCAACUGUAUCCAUUCCUCAACACAUAACCAAGGAAACCUCGGAAAUCGUGUACCUCAGACCUUCAAACACACAAUGAUACUAGUCAUGGAGGAUCAUCUGUGCUAUCUCCUCCAAUACUGGGGAUAAGUCACUGCACUAUUUUCCACCAUGAAAAGUAUGGGAGCGUUUCGAUUUCGGCAUCCUCUGGUAUUGCGAAACUGAAAUGAUAGCACUAUGAAGAAAACACCUUGGAGCUCAACUCUCCGAGACAUUGCCACAACCCCUAAAUGUCAAGAGGCACCAAGAAAGAAUUCCCAUCACAAUGAUAUCAAAACGAUUCCACAAUACCUGCGUGAUCCUAAAAUUUUUUUAGUGAAAAAGAAUAGAAGAGUGGGAAAGCACCUACGUCAUGAGUCCUCGCCAGAGCAACGAAGGGGAUGAGGAUUAAAAAGAAAUCCUACACUCCGAUAGAUAUAGCUAGACUCAAAAUAGUUUUUUUCUAGACUCAACAACGACAUCGGUUUGAUCAAUCAAGGGGGCUCCUAAGGUCGGUAAGGCUCUGAUACCAACUUGUAGCGCCCAAGAUGUGAUUCUAUCCCAAUCACGUGAUGAACUCAUUAUUGGGGCACAACUACAUUUCGAGCGCAUAGCAAGGUGGAUAUCAUUACAACAUACCAUGUACUGAAUAGAUGAGAAUACAAGAUAAAGGCUUACACUCGCCACAAGCUACAAUAUGAGUACAAUAGUUCAUCAAUACAUAGCAAUCAUCAUAGAGCAAGAUCCGACUACGGAUGAAAUCAAACGAAAAAGAAGAACGACAUCCACUCUGCUUGCCCAGGCUCCCGACCCGGAACCUAUAUCCCUUUAUUGAAGAAGAAGCAUAAGAAGAACUCCAAACAAGCAAGCAUCACACGCGUGUCAGAUCAUCGCAUUACAUGUACAUGCAACUGUUGUUGUAGUAAUCUGUGAGCCACGAGUACUCAACAAUCCCAUUACCAUGGGUAUCAAGACUAGCAAAGCUUAAUGGAUAUGGAAUAGAUAAGUGGUGAGGUUGCAGCAAGCGACGAAGCAUGGUAUGGUGGCUAACUUACGAGUACAAGAAUAAGAUGAGAACUACGCACCAGUCGCAAACUAGUAAUGAUCAAGAAGUGAUCCUGAACUACUUACAUUCAAACAUAACCCCACUGUGUUCUCUUCUCAACUCACUCGAAAAGAGACUGUCACGGUUACGCACGCGGUUGGUAUAUUUUAAUUCGAGUUUGGGGUCAAGUUCUCUACAACCGGAUAUUAACAAUUCCCAUCUGCCACAUAACCGCGGGCACGACUCUCGAAAGUUUAAACCCUGCAGGAGUUUACCAACUUAGCCCAUGACAAGUUCACAAUCCACAGAGACAAUCCUCCAUCGCGGACAUCCGAUCAGACUCAAGAUCCCAGUGUACAAGACAUUUCGACAAUGGUAAAACAAAUCCAGCAAGACCUCUCGGCAUACCGACACCCUGAUAGUAGCCACGCAUAUCUCGUCUCAGGCCACGUCUGGAUGGGACAAGCUACGAGUAAAACCAGUCCUCGAGUUUCCCCAUGGCGGCCCCGCAGGCUGCCUGUUUGGACCAACACCAUCAGCACUAGGCCCCCCUGUAUUAUGUUAAAUUACUCCUCGGGUAGCGCUAACUCCCUAUGCGUAAAAUUUAAUAUCAUGUUUAAUUAUUAUGUUGGGAAAAUGUUAAAACCAAUGUUGGGCCUUGCUAGAGGAGUUUUAUUCAAAGCGAACUAUCAAGAGGGACCUAUAAACCCUCAUCAUGUUAGGGACGCAAAAUCAAGAAAUAUAUCACCGUUAUGAUGGAAACUAGGGUGGUAAGAGUGGAACAAAACACCAGGCAUAAGACCGAGCCUUCCACCCUUUACCAAGUAUAUAUGUGCAUUAAUUAAAUAAGAGAUAUUGUGAUAUCCCAAGAUAUCCAUUAUAUCCAUGUCCCAACAUGGAACAACCUGCAAUUGCACCUGCAACUAGCAACACUAUAAGAGGAGCUGAGCAAAGCGGUAACAUAGCCAAACAACAGUUUGCUGGAAUGGUGGAAAAGGUUAGAGGUUGUUUCAUGGCAUAUUGGGAGGCUUGAUAAACAAGUGGUAAGAAGCACGACAUAGUGAUAGCAUCGAGACAACUAGCAUAGCAAAGAUAGUAGUGAGAUCCAAGGUGACGGUCAUCUUGCUUGAAAUCCUGCUAGGAAGAAGACCAAAUCCAUGAAGAAGACGAACGGGCGUAGACGAACCAAACGUAGUCGAACGAAUCCUCACGAUCGCAAUAAAACAGGAACUAUCAAGGAGAAGCGCAACCGGAAAGAAGCAAACAACAAGAUAAACAAAUCACAUAAACAUGGCAUGAUGCACAAACCAGUAUGAUGCAUGUCCGGUUUAAUGAGGCAUGGCAUGGCAAAGUGCAACAAACAAUAUUACAAAUUAAGUGAAGCUCAAUAUGCGACGAGUUGCACCACAUUUAUUUAUUUAGUUCUCUCCCGUUUAUGUACCCAACAAUAUUAAAUGUUGUUAAACAUGGCAAGAGGUGAAGCAUAUGUAAACUACCUAGUUAAGCAAGUUUAAAUGAGGCCGGAACAACAAACGACAAUUCCGGAAAAUCCUCAUAAGCAUAUUUCGAAUUUGCCCUUGUUCUGCCUAAACCAUAUUUUAGAGUUGUGAAACAUGCAAAGUAAGUACACAAUGUUAUUCUAAGCAUUUUUCUACCUUAUUUACACAUAAAGUUUAUUUUAUUCAGAGCUACGGUUAUUAAGUUAAGAAAUAAAUAAUUUUAACAUGUCAUUUAUGCAAAUUAAAGCAAACAACAAGUUUAAACAUUUUAAACAUGGAUGAAAGUUGCCAUUUAUGAAACUAGAUGAAAUGCUAAGCAUUUUACAUGUUUAAAUCAUUUUGAUCCAAUGCACGGUUUGUGAGAUAUUAAAUGCAUGAACACGAGGUUUUUUUCCUGUAAAAUAGACAUUCCUGUGGAUAAUAGGUGAAUUCGCAGACGCUGAGAAAAUGUAUAUUGGGCCAAAUCUGCAGGUUGGCCCAACAGGAGGGGGAAUGGGAUGAGGAUUCUCACCCUGGGCCAAAAUCUGGCCAACGGCUGGGCCUUGGGGGUCGGCUGACCUGGGCCACGCGACACGGAGCUGGCCUUGGCGCGGUCAACGCUCGGACGACCUGCUGCUGCUUGUUGCAGAAGAAUAGAGGCCGCAGCAGGACUCGGCACGCGGGCGACGCGGGAAGCAGAGGAAUGCCGCGACGACGAGGGUGGCACUGGCGGCGGACUUGGCGCGAGAGGAACCGGGCGGAGGCGACCCGAUCCGGCGGCGGGGAGCUCCUGCGGGGUAGCCAGGAUGGCGGCGGCGGCCAUGGGAGCUCCUGCUUCUGUACAAAGGGAAAAAGAGGGAGNNNNNNNNNNNNNNNNNNNNNNNNNNNNNNNNNNNNNNNNNNNNNNNNNNNNNNNNNNNNNNNNNNNNNNNNNNNNNNNNNNNNNNNNNNNNNNNNNNNNNNNNNNNNNNNNNNNNNNNNNNNNNNNNNNNNNNNNNNNNNNNNNNNNNNNNNNNNNNNNNNNNNNNNNNNNNNNNNNNNNNNNNNNNNNNNNNNNNNNNNNNNNNNNNNNNNNNNNNNNNNNNNNNNNNNNNNNNNNNNNNNNNNNNNNNNNNNNNNNNNNNNNNNNNNNNNNNNNNNNNNNNNNNNNNNNNNNNNNNNNNNNNNNNNNNNNNNNNNNNNCUACAAAGGCAAGAAGAGAGAGAUGAGAGGAGGGGGUCGAAGGAAGGAGGGAAAGGAAACCAGGGCGACGCUCAUCUGAGACGGCGACGGUGGAGGUGCUCGUGAUCCUCCUGGUCCAGAUCGAGCGAGGAAGGAGGGUACGCGAUGAUCUUGCUGGCCGCCAGCGAGGAGCGGCUCGGGAGGUGGCUGGAGGCGACGCUGGGUGCCGGGGCCUGGGGGUCGAGCAGAGAGCUCGAUGGCCUGGAUCAAUGGGUGGAUCGGGGAAGGUGGUUGGGGUGGAUCUGGAGGCUGGCUCGCGACUGGGGGCUCGCGAAAAACAAGGAGGAGACCAGGUGGCUGGCGGCGGGCACAGAAUGGAUGGGACAGAUCUCCUAGGUUCUAGGGUUAGGCUGUUUAUAUAGGUAGGGGUUAUCUGGACCCUCCGAUCGUAAUCGGACGGUCCGAGAAAAAUAGGCUAGGACAGUCUAACAAAGAACCGAAAAUAUUUUAGAGAUUUUUGAAGAUGAUCCGGACCCAUCAGUAACAACAGCCCGGUUAGGGUUUGAGUAAGUUUCGGACGCGCACGCGAGGGGGUCUGUGCACUGUGCAGAGAGACUCCUGUUUAGGAAGAGAGAAAACGAAAAACUAGGUUGCAAGAGUAGUUGGUCUCGGAACGGUCAGCGAAGGCAAGGGGGAACGCAGCAACUAUGAACGGAUGCGAGUCUUAUGAAAAUAUGCGGAUGAAAUGAUCAUGAUGACAUGAUGAAAUGCAACAAGCAAAAAAAAACCCGGCGACAACGAAAACAUGAAAGGCGUCUAGAGCGUUGUUCUCGGGGCGUCACAUAGGCACCGACCAUGUUAAGCCAACACAACCAAAAGCCCGAACUAAUAAAAAUGACUAGGCAAUCCACAUGCACUACAACAUUCAUAUCAUCCAAUCCAUAUUAACCUAAAUAGCUAGCAACUAAUAAUGUUAUAACAAUUACUAACUAUAAACAAACUAACCACUAAACAUUCAAUUUUUAUCUAAACUAGUAAGCGUGCAUGUGCAACGCACGUAAGUUUAGAAUUUUCUUCAAUAUUUUGAUUAUCUGAAUCAAAUUUUUGUUCAUAAUAUUUAUCAUAAUAACAUGUUAUGAUUUAACAGUAAUUGGUCUACAAUGAAAUUAUAUAAUAAUCCAAACUCUAAUUUCGGCGAACAACCUUUGCUAGCUAAAUGUGUCCAUGCCAUCCGAUCCCCAUCUUGCAACUGUGACCCCGAUGGUUUGAAUUUUUGAACAUGGUUGUAUCUUUCCUGCCGCACACAACACUCUACUUCCCGUCGAUGGUUUGAAUUUUUUAACAUGGUUGUAUCUUUGCUGCCGCAUGCAACGCUCUACCUCCCGCAUCACGCCAAAUCUUGUUUUUGGGCAUCACCAACGCCUUACCUCCCGUGCCAUGCCAAAUUUUCUUUUCAGGCAUCACCAACGCUCUACGCCCUGCGUCAAUGCCAAAUUUUCUUUUUGGGAUUAUCACCGGGGGAUUUUGUCCACCUAAAUAUAAUCAAACACCAUGGAGGCAAGCUCAAAUUGUUGUUAGCUUAGGUCAUCUCAACAACACCUAGAACAACAACCAGUCAACCAACCAAGCUAGAACAAAGAGGGCAUACCAAAGCAUCUACUUUUUAUCAACAUGGGAUAGAAUGUUCAAAACAAUGCCAUCAUAAUCAACAUGUGCAAAACAUAGCAAAAAAUAAGGAGAUUCCAUUCUUUUAUGCGAGGCAAUGAGCAACUUCAGCAGCCAGUGUCCUAUCACCUAGCAUGAAGACUGGGAACUUUGUCGUUCCAAGAUAUCCUUCAAUAUUUCACAAAACUUCAGGAAAUCACAAGUACAAAUACUUCGACAGCAUGAAAAUGAAAAAAAAUGAAAUAUUUGAACAAAAGAAAGCCACUGUAUAGCAGAUCUCAACCCAACUUACAUGGCAUCUUGUUAACCUAAAUAUUUCAUAAUCCGAAGAAGAAAUUAAGGUGCGUGACGAAACAUCAGCAAUAUAAACUCGCAUCGAUUUUUUCUCUGAGAAAAUAGAUUUCUGGACACCGGAGAUCAAGAUUUCAUCCCAUGAUUUCAUAACAAUCAACAUGUACAUGGCUCUCUGAUUAUAUUGUAGCCACUACCAUGGAUGUAGUUCUCCUCAUAUGGCUCGAAAGAAACAUGAUGCCCUGGGUUUCUGAACCUUGACCCACGCCACCCAUCUAUUUGUGACAAUUUAUGCCCAAAUUUAUAUCUGAAAUGUAUGCCUAGAUCUUUAACACACGAGCAAUAGAAAAACUAAAAACAUAAAUCGCCUAACCUUCUUUCUCAUAUGACUCAUGAUACAACAAGAAAUAUGAUUUUACGAUGUUUCGUCAUGCUUACAUGAACCAGAGCUACCAGGCACCAAUAUUCCACCAUUUGACAAUAACUGUAACAAUGAAGAAAGGCUACCAGACCACAUCUUUUACUACAUAAUGGAACACUAAUGUGCAAACAAAGGCCAAUAUUGCUCCAAUGAAGCAUUCAUAUCAUCAAGUAAGAACGGUUGCAUGUUUAUCACCUUCUCCAAACCAAUGAAAUUGAUGUUGUAACACAUUGUGCAUGCUAAGAAAGAAAUUGAUGAGGACAAUAUUACAUUUCUUCUUACAGCAGCAUACAUGCACCAUAUAAGAGGUCUAAAUCUUGAUGAUAGGUUCAUGCAUAAAGGAAGCGAAUUUGAAAAACAUAUCAGAAUCUUACGAAAUGAUCUUAACUCCAUGCAAAGUUGCUUAGUAGGAAAAAUAGCAGUGAAGGAUCAAGGUGGACAACAAAUAACAUUAAUAUAAUACUCCUUCAAGGUAAAUAAUAAAAAAUGGAAUCAUAGUGGGUACAAGUAUUUUGAAUAGUGAAGAGACGUACGAUAUACGUGCAAUGCACAUUUCCAAAAUUCAUAUAUAUGAAUAUAUGUAAAUAUAAGUUUUGCUAAUGUCAUAGUUUGCCAUGCUUCACUAACAUCUUAUCAUGUCAAAUCAUUGGUGGACAUCCCCUUUGUGCUGCAAUUUUUAAUUUUGUUUAACUUCCUAUCUCCACUUACAUCAUGGAUAACAUACAACAAAAUUUAAAUGAAAUUCAAUAAACUUCUAUCAGAUGAUAUGACUGUGAAGAUCAGUGCAGGUUAUGUCAUUGAGCAUCAUCUACUUACCCUUCAAAGUGUGACCGUAAUCCAAACUACAAUACAUGAAUUACCAUAUAGCUACCUUAUGGGGCAUAUAUGCCAUAUCCUCAUAUCUUCUUGUUUGGCAGAGUUCACCACUUGCAUAGUCUUGAAUGGAGAAGAUUGAACAUGCUCUCGUACAACUGGGCAAUGGUGUGGAACUCCAUAAGCGAUGGCGACGGUGCCGGAUACAGUUGUCCGUCCGGCAUGAUGGAGAAGCUUCAAGAACUAAUUUUUUUAUUCCUCGCCCAGGAUCUGUAAUGAACAUGUUAGUACACAAAUUAAUUUACCAACAUAGUGCACAAAACAGACAAUCGAAUUCUAAAUGUGGCCUCACAUGCUAAUAAUUCUACAUACAUGUAUGUUGUUCAAUCCAUCUAUGCUAUACAAUCCUAUUGUACACACAGGGAGUGAAGCGUGUAUGGAAUUAAACAAGCUAGUUGUAGACAUGCUAAUAGCAUCAGUUUUGUGUUAACCACAUAGUACUGCACUGCCAUGUACAAAAUCAGGAGAGGAAGGUACUUUCUCUACUUGCACGGGAGAAUCUUGAGACAGACUCUACGCUACCUGGACGGAGAAUCUUGUGGCGGAGAUUGGGAGGAGGUAGCAGAGGUGUUCUCGACAGCGGCGUGCAGUGGGCGGGGAACAAAAUCAAGCAAGAUAUUCAGCGUGUCUUCCUCACGGACAGUCUCAAGGUACUUCUUCUGAAACCACAGAAAUGGAUUAAGUAACUACGUGCUACAAGUUUAAAAAAAAGAAUCUGAUAUGUAGUCGAAAUUUAUCUGUUCACCACAGAAAAUGAGGAGCUUCACUUCUUCCUCGAGUUCUCUUAUAUGCGCGUGAUAGUAGAAACAAAAGCCAGAAAUCACCUCACAUGAAGAAAAAUCAGAACAAUUAAAUUGGUAACCAAUCUGCUGUGGAAGUGCUACUCACUUGGGCUUUCUCCCAGCUCGCGGUUGGUGCUCCCGAUCAAAGCUGGAACCAAAAUCAAACAAAGGAGAGACUUGGUGUAACCUGCAACGAAUGACUCCAAGUCUUUAGACAAUACGUACAAACCAGAAAACCAAAACGUGCAAAUCCCCAAAUCCCACGACUUGCUUUACUGAGAGGAGCUUGCCGGUGUCCAAAUUUAUCUCGAGGUAGACCUUCCAAAACAUACAGGAGCCGGUUAUCUCGCCCUUUUGCCAUCAGAUCGACAGGAUCUCUCCUGCUCGUCCGCUGCCGUUGACGGUGUCAGCGGCAGCAGGCGGCAUGGCGGCGAGGGGCUCUUGCAGAUGAGCCCGAGCAGUCCCAUCCCCCUUGCGGAGGCGCGAGAUGAUCCGGACGCCGAUCCCGCCAAGGGGCCCGACAGAGUGCUCCGUUGCGGCGCCGCUAAAGCAGAAGUUGACAAAUCGCCGGAGUCGAAUAAAUCGUGGGGCGCGAGCCCGCUGCUAUUCGAGGAAGGAGAUGGACCCGCCGCCGCCGACGCAGGCCGAGCCCGCUGCGUCCACCGCCGCCGCUGCCGCCACGGCCCGCGUCCGCUGAAUCCGCCACCGCCGCCGCUCGAGAGGGACACUCGCGUCGGUGACACAGGCCGAGCCCGCUGCAUCCCGCGCCGCCGACGCUGCUCGAGGCAGGAGAGUGACCCCGGCGCCGCCGACGCGAGCCGAGCUUCGCCCGGCGGCGUCCUGUAGUGAGGAGAGGGAGGGGAGGUGGAGAACCAGCGGCGCGGAAUCGGCCUGUGUGUUGCAGUAGGGGCGAGCGGGGAUCUGGGGAUGGAGCAGACGUCUGCUUGGGCAGAACAUUUGAUCUCAAUCGUUGAUUUGCAUCACGGACUAUUGAUGUAAUAUGGACUGUACGAUGUGUUUAAGUUAAUCUGAUCGGAGGGUUCUGACAGUCUUGUGUACAAUUUGUUGUGUGGCUUUAGGGGAGUUUAUGUUUGCUCUUUUAAUAGUAGUAUAGAUAAGAAAAAAAUGUGAAGUGUAUAUGUGGCUCAAGAGAUCGAGCUCAUCACCUCGGUUUGUUGUCAGCCGUUGGUGGGUGAAAGUCGGUAUGGAGGAGGUUGUCUGGGCCGCGUGCAGGGAUUUGGCUGGAGUGUGCCACCGGGACGAGAGGAGUGGUCUGGGGAGACGGCUGGAGAAGUUAUCGGGGUGUGGGUAGGUGUGGGCGACACAAUGGCAGUAAGGAUUAGGCGGCGGCGGAUCAGUAUGUAUAAGAAAUAAUUAAGGCCAGAUCAGAGUGCCUACGGUCGGCAACUUGGCAAAACAGUCCACGUGUGGAAAGAAAAAACUUCUUACGAAAACUAUGCCAAGUAUGGUGACGCGGGAGCUCGACAAAUUUGGCGGUAAUGCGGGAGCUCGGCAAACUCGGCCCGCCAUGACAAAGUACACAACAACCGCUGUUGUUGCCACAUGGCACAAACUUCGCCGAGUCCGGCCAGCAAGAAAUUCAGCAUAGUUAGUAUAAGCCGAGUUUAUUUUGUUUACUUACCUAGCUCUCAGCAACGGAAUACCUCUGCCGAGUCAUUACCAAGAACCGUACUUGGCUUACAUUGUUUUUUUCUUCGAGCCCCCGCAGUUUGACUCCCGGCAAAGAUAACAACACACGACAACGACUAAUUUCCAAGUAGUGACACGCAAAAAAUAAAAAUCUAAAAGGCAGAAGUAUAUUUUGUCAAAAGAAAACAAAAGUAAAAGCAGAAAUCUGGAUAUGAAUUUGUGUCAUACAUCUCAGUGCCAACAUAGCGUGACCAUCAGAAACAAAACUACGCCAAGAGUGGCCCUUGUUACAAAUUUGAGCAUGGAAACAAUGUACACAAUGUGCAUCGACGAAGAAUAACCACGAGAAGAAGCUCAGAGUGAUUGAUGUAGGGACGACCCUUGGAGUUGCGUAACGCAGAUCAUGUAGGAAUAAUAUAAAUAAUACUGUAGCCUAUAAAACUUGGGGAAAUCAAAUCAGCAUAU